This 86244-nucleotide long non-coding RNA is filed under the name Setaria viridis. RNAcentral describes it as "long non-coding RNA (SVIR_LNC003572)". Lineage: Eukaryota; Viridiplantae; Streptophyta; Magnoliopsida; Poales; Poaceae. The record is from RNAcentral.
UUCUUUUUUUUUUCUCAUCCAACGUAUAUACCCAUUGUUUGCAAAAUCUACCAAAAGGUGGAAGAAUUUGGUGGACAAUGUCCCAGGAUUGAUAGUUAAGUCAUGGUCUAAUACACGCUGGGAAAGUCGAAUAAAAAGUGUUGAAGUUAUCAGAUUCCAAACUUCUCAAAUAAGAUCAGCUUUAAUAGCGCUAGAGAAGGCUUCAACUGAUGACCCAAUGGCAGUUAGUGAAUGUCAAUCUUUGGUGAGUGCACUAGAGAAUUUUGAAUUUUUAGUUGGUUUAGUUAUUUGGCACGAUAUUUUAUUCUCUAUAAAUAAUGUGAGCAAAAAGUUGCAAUCUAAAAUUGUGAGUAUAGAUGAUACUCUCAAACAUAUUGAAGGUGUCAUAUCAUAUUUUAAGAAGUAUAGAGAUGAAGGUUUCACUUCUAGUAUGAAUACAACAAAAAAUAUUGCAUCUGAAAUGGAUAUAGAGCCAAAAUUUUGUACGAAAUAUCAAGGAAAGAGAAAGAAAUAUUUUGAUGAACAAGAUGAUCAAGAUGAGGAAAUACAAUGGUCUACCGUGGACUCAUUUAGAGUAGAGUACUUCAAUGUUAUGAUCGAUGCUGCAAUUGCUUCAUUGACUAGUAGAUUUGAACAGAUGAAAAAAUUUGAUAACGUUUUUGGGUUCUUGUUCAACUCAAAAAAUUUGAAAUCUUUGGAUGAAGCUGAUCUUUGGCUGCACUGCAAGAAUUUUGUGAAAACAUUUUCUCAAGAUAACUCAUCCGAUGUUGAGAUCAAUUGUUUUUUUCAGAAUUAAAGGUGCUACAAGUGACUUUUUCAGAUUCUUUGAUGUCAUCGCUUGAGAUUCUGGAGUUUGUUAUGGCUGCAGAUUGCUAUCCAAAUAUUUCAGUUGCCUAUUGAAUCCUUAACUGUACCUGUGACUGUAGCUUCGGCUGAAAGAAGUUUUUCAAAAUUGAAGUUGUUGAAGAACUAUUUGAGAUCAACUAUGUCACAAGAAAUGUUAAAUAGAUUGGCUAUUUGCACCAUCGAGAGGGAUAUCUUGGACACUAUUGAUCUCAAUACCAUCCUUGAUGAUUUUGCAUCAAGAAACGCCCGAAGAACUAUCUUUUUACGAGAAGCAAUGAAUAUUAUGGAGUUAUAUUCUUUCUUAAGGUAAUCACAUUAGUUUUAGUCUACAUUGUUUCUCAAUAAUUAUCAAACAUGUUAAAUUAAAAACAUAUCACUGGAUUUGUUUUCGUAUUGAAAAAAUUAGCGCUUAUAUAUUAUAAGAUUUAUAUAUAGUCUAGAGGACCUAUCGCGACAAGUUCGCCAGAGGACCCUCAAAAUCUUAGGACCGGCACUGUAGGGCCCCUGGCCAGAUAUUUUCCAGCGAAAAAUUUAAAUUUGACCAAAUUUUGAGAAAAAAUUUGCACUAUCGGUCCCUAACGAAAAAAAUAAGUUUCUGGUUCCGCCCUACUUGUAGCCAUUUGAGGCCUAAAAAGACUUGUAACCAUUUGAUUGAACAACCUGUUAGCAACUUUCUGCAUAACUUGUAUGCCGGAUUUGAGCCCCUUGUGUGUUAAAGGCUGAUGGGCUACUAGCAUGUUAAAUAUUUUCGUCUCUGUAUAGACGUUGGUAAGAUGAUAUAAUGGCAUUAUUGAGACAACUAAGUUACUAGCAUGCUUCAUCGCAUUUCCUGAAUGUAAUCCCAAAGUGAUGCAGCUUUGAAAAACUUUACCUAGCUACUUCGUGCCUUGAUCGAGGCACAGGUACGAACCAAACUCUGAACGAGCUUGUCCAUCUUUUUUUCCUAGUACAUUUGUUGGUUUCAUGCAAGUUCAAAACCACACAGUAAAGAUCAAUAAACAAAGCUAAUAGGAACUUUUCCUUCAAAAAGGUCAUCCCUUUUACAGGGAGGACGAAUCCCAUUUUUUAGUCAGCCGGAAGCUAUUUUACAUACCUAAUAUACACUUGCUUAACCACUAUAUUUUUAAAAGAUGUUAUAUACGAGAGUCUUCUUAGGUAGACGUGUUCAACUCGGCUUCGUCUUCUGGAUCAGUCUAUCGCACCUCCCAACUCGAACCCUCGCAGAGACCUAUCCUGCACUUCGCUUUAGGGCUUGUUUAGUUGAGGCUCGAAUUUGGCUUUGUACAGUAUUUGGGCCUCCUUUUGGGACUUUUGAACUAAACGGCCUGCCAAACUUCGAUCCAAAAUCGGCCUUUAGGAUGGCCCGAUUUCGGCCCAAACUUCGCAACCUUAUCCAGCGGCAGAUGACCGGCCGCACUCCCAACCCUAGCACCGCCCGCAGUCACGCUCCCUCUCCCCCGUGCCGCUCGCCUCUCCCUCGCCGCUCUCCCCCUCCCCGCCGCUCUCCCCCUCCCCCGCGCUGCUCGCCCUCUCCCCCGCCGGUGUCCUCUCCCCCGCCGCUCUCCCUCUCCCCCCUGCCCGCGCCGCUCGCCCUCUCCCCCACCGGUGUCCUCUCCACCGCCGCUAUCCCCCUCGCCCGCGCCGCUCUCGUCUCCCCCGCCAGUCUCCUCCUCCCCCGCAGAUCUCCCCCUCACCCGCACCGGUCGCCCUCUUCCCCGCCGGUGUACUCUUCCCCGCCGCUCUCCCCCUCGCCUGCGCCGCUCGCCUCUCCCCUGCCGCUCUCGUCUCCCCCGCCGCUCUCCCUCUCCCCCACCUAGAUCUGUCCCCCUCGGCCGCUAUCCCGCUCCCCUGCUAGGCUAUCGCUGCAUCCGCUCCAAUCGACCUUUCCACCUCCAGAUCCAGGACGUACUCGGUCCGUUGCACCGCGUCCGGUACCGGGUGCACCGUUGUUGACCCAGGCGGCGACGAUGGACCACUUCAACGACGAAAGGGAUGGCGCGGAGUUCAACGCCAGCGGAUCCAGACUCCCCGCGGGCUGCACCGCCGGCGGAUCCGGCAACCCCGCUCCCUUCAACGCCGGCGGAUACGGAGAUGGCUCUUCGGGUUUGGACUUCGGCAACGUCCCCGACUACGACGCCAGCCACCGCACCAAGAACUUGUUCUCCCUAGCGCCGCCGGGCUCAAGAAGCGGUGCGUACAACCCCUUCUCCUCCGUGCCACAGCAGACCCUGUCGUCCACCUUGCCCACCCCAAGCCAGCUGGGCAUGUCCGGCCUCAACCUCAAUGCAACCUCCGGGUGGCCGAACAUGAACGACUACGAAGGCAUCCUUCGCUCUGGCGACCGAGUGGGAGGAGGCGGCAGCAGCCGGGGCGGCCCUCCCGGCGAAGAGGCUUUCGGCAGCGGUGGCCAGGCCAUGGCUCCCUUGCCUCAUCAGCGGCGUCCUACGGCCAGGGCCCGUGGUUCCCGGCGUCGUGGCGCGGCUCAAGCAGUGGAAGCUGAGAACAAUCUGGUACUUGUUCCCACUCCCACUCCCCCUCUUUACUUCCAUGAUCUGGAUAUGUGGUGGCGCAUACAUUUAUCCCUAGUGUGCAUGAAAUGUAUUGCUUAGUCAUGGUUACUGUCAAUAGGAGUUCAUGCAUUGCUUGUUCAAUUACAUUUAUCCCUGGUGUGCAUGAAAUGUAUUGCUUAGUCAUGGUUACUGUCAAUAGUGGUUCAUGCAUUGCUUGUUCAAUUACAUUUAUCCUUGGUGUGCAUGAAAUGUAUUGCUUAGUCAUGGUUACUGUCAAUAGGAGUUCAUGCAUUGCUUGUUCAAUUGCAUUGUGCACAGAAUGAGCCAAGCAGGGCCAAGUGGACCUAAGAGGAUACACAGGUGUUUUGUGAGCUUUACUGCCAACAAAUUGAGUUGGGUAACUGCAAGAGUGGCAACAUGAGCAAGUGGGGCUGGAAAGAUGUUCAGGAGAAGUUCCUAGCGGCGACUGGCAAGUUCAGGAACAGUGAGCAGUUUGGUUACAAGUACAGGCAGUUGAAGUUGCUGUGGCAGUUCAUCCAAGAUCUGCGGACAAAGUGCACAGGCUUGGGGCACCGAGAAGAUGGCUCUGUGAUUGCUAGUGAUAAGUGGUGGCAGACCAAUUGCAAGGUUAGUGAUAUGUGAACACCUCAUAUGUACUCCUUUCCUUCCUGUCGUAGGUACUGAAUGUUUGUGUGCUGUUAUUUGCAAUGCAGGGGCACGCCGACUGGUAUGAUCUGAAGGAUGGAUGGCCAGAAUACAUUGACGAGCUGGACCGCAUGUUCUGUGGAGUAGCAGUGACUGGAGAUACCUCCUUUGUUCCUGGGGUCAGCCGGCAGAUCAACUUCAUCAGCAGCGGCGAAGAAGAUGUUGCUGAUGCGGACUGUGCCACCCCUCGCAGCUGUGCCACCCCAGUCAGCAGUGGGAGCAAGAGGAGCUCAAGCAGCAUCCGCAGCACUGCUACAAGCCCCAGCAAGAAGAACAAGGGCGGUGUUGUUCGGAACAUGAACAGCAACAUGACAAGGUUCAACUCCAGUUACGAUCAUAGGACAUCAAUUAUCCAAAGGGCCUUGGAGGAUAAGAUGAAGGAGGUUGAAGAUGUGAUGGACAAGAAGCGGCAGCGAGAGGAUGCUAGGAAGCAAGAACAGAAACUAGUGACAGAUUCAGCGACAGAGCUUGGAGUGCACCUGAUGGAAGGACAACUCUGGAACGGUGUCGUCAAGACCUGCAUGCAUGAUGACCUACGCAACAUCUUCCUGUGCACACCUGUUGAAGCAAGGCUGUCAACGAUCAAGCAAUAUGCCUCUAUGGUGUAAACCAGACCCUAUGUCUUUUGUGUGUGCUUGGCAUGUCUUUUGUGUGCUAGUCAUGUCUUGUUGUUAAAUUAAGUUGUGUUGGUAUUGUUUAUGUUGUGAUGAUGAACAUUUGAUGAACUGUGUUGGCAAAUUCUAUAUUAACAGCAUGGUUGUUCAUUAGAGCAGUUUGGUUAUUACUUGUUAAAGUUAUUGCCUCUGUCUUCAGAUGGGUGUUGUUUGACUGAAGGUAGCAGCAAUUAGUACUGUGGCUACCAAUUCAUUUCUACUAACUGUUGUUGUGUUCUUUUGGAAUGCGCAGGAUGUUGCUGCUCAUUUUGGUGCCCAAGUUGAAGAUUCAGUGGAAGAGGAGGUCAAGGACCAGGAGGAGGAGGAGAAGUUGCUGGCCGAGUGGUGGGAACUAUUCUGGACAUUGGUGGUAGAAGACGAUGAUGAAGCACCAUUUAUCUAUGGUACGUAUGGAUAUGCUAUUCAUAUGGACAAGUAUUGCAACAGAGGACCGUAUAGGAAUCCACCAUUGACUGGGGAGCAAUGGGUAGUUAACAAGCUUGCCAAUGAAACAUCCUGCUACACCAUGUUUAGGGUGACCCCACACAUGUUUUAUAGGCUGCAUGACUUGUUGACAUCUGAGUAUGGGCUGACAGCAUCAAAUAAAUCUAGCACUAUUGAGGCUUUAGGAUUGUUCCUUUGGAUAUGUGGGGCACCACAAUCUGUUAGGCAAGCAGAGGACAGAUUUGAGAGGUCACUAGCCACUGUGCAUAGCCUAUUCUACAAAGUCCUCAAUUGUCUGGUAGACCUAUCUGCCGACAUCAUUAAACCUAGGGAUCCAGAGUUUAGAACAAUGCAUCCUAGGCUGCAAAACAAUCGGUUCUACCCUGAAUUCAAGGGUUGCAUAGGAGCAAUAGAUGGCACUCACAUUCCUGUAGUUGUGCCAAGUGCAAAGUUUAUGCAGCACAUAUGUAGGAAGGGCAAGACAACCCAGAAUGUCAUGGCCGCUUGUGACUUGGAUAUGGUUUUCACAUUUGUGCUUACUGGGUGGCCGGGUUCAGUGCAUGACAUGAGGGUGUUUGACGAUGCAAUGACAACUUACAGCGACAAGUUCCCAAAGCCACCUAGAGGUACACACAACUGUUUCUAGGUCACUAGUGUUUUCUAAUACAACCAUUGUAAACUUACAGGUAUCUACUGUUCCUAUAGAGAAAUACUACUUGGUGGACUCGGGGUAUGCAAACCGCACCGGCUUCCUGGCUCCUUACCGCCAGACCAAGUAUCACAUCCAAGACUUUCAAAACGCGCCAGAACCACAAGGUAUGAAGGAGAUAUUCAACUUUGCACAUUCAUCUCUUAGAAAUGUGAUCGAAAGGGCGUAUGGAGUGUUGAAAAUGAAGUGGCGCAUAUUGUUGGACAUCCCGGCCUAUCCACCAGAAACACAGACAUGGAUUAUAUGUGCAUGCAUGGCGUUGCACAACUUCAUUAGGAUUAAUGGUGACUUUGAUAGUCACUUUGGUAUAGUGGACAGCAACAUUAACUAUGUGCCGGUUGAAGGCACUCAGGAUCAGCCGGAAACAGUGCCUGCGCCGGAGAGUGCGGACAUGGCAAGCAUGAAUGCAUUCCGAGACAUGCUUGCUGAACAUUUGUUUGCUAGGUCUUGAAUAAUUUGUGUUUGAGGACAUGUAAUUGUUUAUGUACUUUGUGAUUAGGUGUAACAAUUUUCGGUGUUGUGAAUCUGUAAUAAUUUGUGGUGCACUUGAGAAUAUUUUUCUUGAAGUUUUGUUGUUGAAACAGUAAUGAAUUGUGUUGUCAUUUGGCCUGGUUCAGUGUAUUUUUUUGGAGGACAACAGGUCAUGUUGAAUUGUUAGAUGAUAAAACAGGACAUUGCAAACUUUGUGAAGUCCUAAGUUGGGACCUCCAAAAUUUGGCCAGAGGGGCCAAUUUUUUAGCUGAACAGUAACUCCCAAGUUGGACCUCCCAACUUGGGCAACUAAACAUGGCAGAGUUCCUUCGCAAAGCUUCAGCGAAACUGUCGGUUAUCGAAGGUUGUUCCUCUCCUUAUGAUGCAGAUUCUGUCUUGGCAACAAACCUUGGAACUUGCCUCGAUGGACUCGGGUACCUACAGCACAACAACCAAGCAAAUAGACGCUUGCUGUUAUCUGUUAAAAGGAUCGAUGGUUAUUUAUGAGCAGUUCAAGGUCUCUAGAAAUCUCCCGUAAGCCUCGAGCUGGAUUUCCUGUUCUUAAGUUAGCGAGGGUCCGGGCGACCAUAGCAUCGCAACUGAUAACAUGCGAGGGUAAGUUUGGCAAGUGCUGUCCCCGCGAUCGACGCUCGAGGGUGUCCAUCCUUUUUUACGAUCCCAACAACAUUCAUGACAUUUAUAGAUGUUUUGAAAUUAUAUGUGGAUGGACAAUCAAGCUUAACAACAACAUUAAAGCCUUUCAAUUCCAAAUAUACUAUAACAAGCUAGAGUUGAAACUUAAUAGGAGCCACUAGGCAUGUACAUAGCGGUUUUCCAUACACUAGCAUUCAAGUAAAUUCUUGUAUAUUCCAUCCUUUCAAGUUUAUUGUUUUUAUCUCAUCCUCACGUCAAUUUCAGCCUUGCUAUGCCUCUCCUCACAUUAUUAUCGUAUCUUAGGAUUCCACUAUGCACUUGUGCCUCUUGAGGCCUCUGUUAAACAUAUUCAAACCAUGUUGACUUUUCUUCAAUUGGUGCUACCCCUAACCUAUCACGUAUAUCAUCAUUCCAGAUUUGGUCCCUAAUUGUAUGAUAAUAAAUCCAAUGCAACAAUCAUGCUUAAUAAAUUUUGAAAAUUGCACAUUCAAAUUCUCUUGCACCUAUCGUUGCAUAGGUCAAAGUACACCUAUAUACAUUGAUGAUUGCACGUGACAAUCUUCAACCAACUUGGAUCUCAGUUACUAUUUAAAAUACACCUCCCUAUAUGCUUAAGUGAUCACAUCCGGGUAAAGUAUAUGACAAGCAUAAUAAGUAAUCAAGAUUGGAAUGGGCAUAGUUUGUAUCCCAUAGGUUAUAAUCCUGUGAGGAUAGCUAAAAUAGUUUAAUACAUCAUAUAUGGUUUACUUAUGGAGUUGGAGCGAAAACAGAGUUUGCUUGUUAAUUAUUUGAAUUAAACCUCAAGCAUUUAUAGGUGGCACUGAACUGUCUCACAAAAAAAAUCAUAUUGAACCAUAACAAGUAGCUUUGUUUGAAAUUGUAUCAUUCAUCGACAACACUUGAAAGCUCCGAUAAACAAAAAAAAGGUUGGACGACACGUCCCAAUUAGGGUUGAGAAACUUCACUUUUUUCUAGUAUUUGGAGAUUCUUAAACAGGAGGGGGCUCCCCAGCAUCCACCCUAGUGCCUUCGUGAGCGGGCCUUGCCAUGUACACAACAUGCCUUGCUUGCGUUACUGAAUCCGGGUCGUGGCUAUGGCUCCUCUUCUCAACUCACCAAUCACCAUGCAUACAUAUCUUGUCGCACUCGGUAAGCGGUGAUCCACGCAAUUAUAAUGCUAGAAUUUGUUGGUGUAGUAAUUUACUAAUACAAAUUGCUAUUCUCUCCGAGUGCAGCUUGUUUAGUUUUAUCUGAAGUCAAAUUUUUUUAUUUUUAAUCGAAUUUAUAAGAACAUGUAAGUACCUUUCGUAACAAAUAAAUAUACUAUCAUAAUAUAUUUUAUGGUAUAUUUAAUAACCAAAAUAAAUUGUGUAUUGUAGAUGUUGCAUUUUUCUACGAAUAUGGUAAAAAAAAUAAAUAAGUUUGAAUCAGACCAAAACGAAAAAUAGGCUGCUAAUGGUCCAGCAACCGAACCAAAGCUACCCCACACCGUAACAUUAUUACAUGUCCUGCCAAUCCAUCCCAGCCCAGUUUGUCAUCAGCAUGUCAUCAGCAGGAACCGAGCCAAACCUACUCCUUCCAUCCCAAAUUAUAGAUUAUUUUGACUCUUCUAGAUUUAUAAUUUUUACAAUUUCAUAUAAUGGAGAAUGGAGGUUGUAUGAAAGCACAAUAAAGUAAUAGCCUAUACUCACAGUUACCCAAAAGGCCUAUGCGUUUUUUAAGAGGCCCAAAAGAGCCCAUGUAUGACGUCGAGCCCCAAAUCAAACAAGCAGCCGGCAGUCCUCCUGCUGCUACCUCUUCCACUCUUCGUGACGCCACCCCCGGCCCCCAGGUGGUGGGCCGGCCGUCGCCAUCCCAGCCCCUUCGCGGAUUGCCUCGCCUUGCAGGUGCACCAGCCCCUCCUCUUUCUCCCCGUCUCCCGCUUUUCCUGCGCGCCGUCAAGCUUGCCAUGGCUGGCAUGGGGAAACUAAAAUCGAGCGGAGGAGGCAAAAUCUACCGUGGAAUUGAAGCUUUCUUGUCGCCUGAAAGGCUGCAAGCAUGGGAAUUAGGCGAUGACCCCUGGCGUCCAGUUCCGGCCGCCCUAGACGCCUACUAGGCGACGCUGUGACAACUAUGUCCUUGCAUUGCCAAUCAUAUGGACUCAACCUCGGCGGCGUGUCACAGGCUCGCCAUUGAUCAUGCAGGGUUCUGGGAUUCAGGCCAAAUGGAUCGAAAUUCAGUGAAAUUCGUCUAUUUCGAUCCGACCCGAGACAAAACCAAACCGGUCAAAAAAAAUUCGGCCCCAUUUGAAUUUUUGAUCUAACCCAACGUCGAAAGCAGCCCACAAACACCUCCCAUGGGUAUAAAAGCACAAGCCUAUCCUGAAAACCCUAGAAAUUUUAUUUUUCUCUCUUCUCUCCUCCCUGCUGGCGGCGGCUGCUGUUCAAGCCAUGGCCAACAGCAGGCACAGGCUUCGAUCUCCCCCAUCAGCCUCCUCUCAGUCCGCUCCUCUUCUUGUCUGAUUCCGGCAUCACCACCUCCGCUUGUUCCCCUCCGUUUCCUGUCCAAUCUUUGGUUGUUGGAUGGCUCGAUCUGUUGCUGCUAGUGGUAGCUCCUGUGUUGGUGAUGAUGACAGGUCAAGAGCUUCAGCACAACAGCCGGCACCAGUGAUCUUUUUCUUCGUUGAUUGGUUGCAAGUACUUUUAGCUAGGUUCAAUGCUUCAUUUUUUUUUAAACGAGCUAGCAGGAGAGUUGUUGCUAUAUUCAUAAAGAGGGAAGGUCCGACGGGCCAAAAAUAAACGUACUAUACAAGCUGUACACUCUCAUCCCCAGGAAUAGGGAGGCAAAACUCCACUAUGACCACUACAAAAAUACAGACGCAAAAACUAAGAGGAACUCCUGCAAGUGUUUAGCUCCCGCGGCAACCCACAUUGCGGAUUGGUCUUUGAUGUCAUCAGUCAUCUGAGUAAGUGUCUUGUCCUUGUGUUGGAAAACCCUCCGAUUCCUCUCUAGCCAAAUCUCCCAAAGGACGAGAAUAAUCAAUGUACGCAACCCUUUCCCACCGGCCACUGGUCGAGCCAGCAUAGUUGUCCACCAGUUAUGUACGGAGUCGUGCCUGUCCCAUAGGCUUGGGUCAAUGUUGGAGCAAUGUGUCCAUGUAAUCAAUGCAGCCCAUAUUGCUCAUGUAAAGCUGCAGUCGGCGAAAAGGUGAUAUUCGGUCUCCUGCGCCGUGUUACAAAGAGUACAACUUGGGUUACUAGUCCAUCCCCGAUGUUGGAGUCUGUCCGUUGUCCAUAUUCUAUCUUGUAUCGCCAACCAGCUGAAGAAUUUGCACUUCGGCGGUGCCCAUGCUUUCCAAAUUAGGUUCUCUAAAUUAGUUGUCAUGGAUCCUAUGAAUUGUGCUCUGUAGGUCGAUUGCGAACUGUAUUUCCCGUUUGGCGUGAACUUCCAUGUGAUAGUGUCCGGAAUAUCCGGUGUAAGCUGCAGGCGGCUGGUCUCGACCCAUAGUCGAUAGUACUCAAUAAAAUAUGUCACGGUAAAACCUUGAUGUAGAAGAUUUAAGUCUCUUAUCCAUGCGUGAUUUGUCACUGCAUCAUAUAACGUCAUGUUCUUUCUUCUGGAAAUAUGAUACAGGUUCAGCGCAAUGUCCCUUGGCCUUUGUCCGCUUACCCAGCCGCUAUCCCAGAAGGAUAUAUUGCCAUCUCCCACUGUAAUUGUGGUUGCCGCCGCAAAGAGUUUGCGGUCCACUUGAGAGCAAGGGAUGUCCUGGCCCUCCCAGGAAGGCCCUUCGUUCAUCCAGUCCUGCCAAAGCCACCGUAGCCGUAGGGCCCUAGAGAAUUUUCCAAGGUGUAACACUCCUAGUCCGCCUCCCUUCUUGGGCCUUGCUGAUCGCGUCCAAUUUACUUUGCAUUUGCCGCCUGUGAUCAGUUCCGUCCCUGCUCAUAGAAAUUUCCUCCCUUUAGCAUCAAUAAUCUUCAUUGUUUCUUUGGGUACUUUGAGGGCCGACAGCAAGUAAACGGGUUGAGCAGUUAGGACCGAUUUAACCAAUGUGAGCCUCCCAGCUAUCGUCAAAUUCCUUUCGCUCCAACUAUUUAGUUUGGCCGCAACCUUAUCUAGCAAGGGUUGGAAAUCCACCGCUUUUAGUCGCACUGUGGAUAGUGGUAGCCCUAGGUACUUGAUUGGGAAGGCGCCCCUCCUUGCCGGUAGGUUUUCGAGAAUCUCACUCAAUUGCACACCUUCACAACAGAUGGGGAUGGCAGUUGAUUUUCGAAAAUUUGUUUUGAGUCCCGUUGCUUCUCCGAAGUUUUCCAGGAUGUUAACUAGCGCAUCGAUUUCCUCUUUUCUUGGCGCUAUAAAUAGUGUUGCAUCGUCCGCAUACAUUGAGAUACAACAUGAGGGUGCCCUUCCACGCAGUUUGGUAAGGAUAUUCAUGUCAGUUGCCAAUUGCAGAAUUCUUUGUAGCAGAUCUAUCGCUAUAACGAAGAGCAACGGUGCUAAUGGGUCGCCUUGUCGCAAGCCUCGGUCGUGUUUUAUUGGUGGGUUUGGGAUGCCAUUUAGGAAGACGCGUGCGGAUAAAGUGGACAGAAUGGCCGCAAUCCAAUCACACCAGUGGUUGGGGAAUCCCAAGUUGCACAGGAGCAAUAGUAAAUAGUCCCAUCGGAUGGAGUCAAAGGCUUUGGCGAUGUCCAAUUUGAGGAAGACGGCCUGCACUUUGUUUCUACGAUAUCUUCUGACCUGCUUCGCACUGUCAUAAAGUUGUCAUGAAUACUCCGCGUCUUGAUGAACGCACUUUGGCAUUUAGAGAUGAUUGUGUUCAUGUGCAGUUGUAAUCUAAGAGCCAUAGCCUUCGUUAUGAUCUUGAUAAACGAGUGGAUGAGGCUUAUUGGUCUGAAGUCCUGUACGGUGCUCGCCCCCUCUUUCUUUGGGAUGAGGAUUAUGUUAGCUGUCUUAAUUAGCUGGAGGCUGUUGCACCUUAGACCGUAGAACGCGUUUACUGUUGCCAUUACAUCAUGUCUUAUGGUGUCCCAGCAUGAUUUUAGGAAUAGACCCGUAAAUCCGUCUAAGCCUGGGGCUUUAUUGUUUGGCAUGCUAUGAAUGGCUUACUUGAUUUCUUCUUCGGAGAACGGCGAGUCCAAUGAUGACAGAUCAUGCUGAUUUAGGUGAAGGAGGUCCCAAUUGAGGUCCACGGCACGUGGCUGGGGCUCCUGCAGGGCUGCUGUAAAAAAAACUUUGAAUAUCAGCCACUUUUUCUUUGUGUGUGCACGCCCAACCAUUGUCUCUUUUAAUCUUCUGGAUGUAAUUUUUCCACCUCCUAGAGUUGACUCGUCGGUGAAAGAAACGUGUAUUAGCAUCUCCGAGCUUAAGGUUGGAAAUUCUGCUUGCUUGAUUCUUACGCACCCGCUCAAUUACCGCUAGCCCCAUGGCCCUUAGCUUUAGGCGGCUCCGCAGGACCUGCUCGGCCUCUAUAAGUUGUCAUUGUUGUGCUAUGUCGAAUCUUAGAAUCACAUCCAAGGCCAUAUGCAUCUGCAUUCUCGCAUCUGGUAUGAGGUGGCCACUCCACUCUCUUAGUGCAACAUCUAUGGCGUGUGGCUUGUGAUAAAGUCUGUGAAAAGGUUCGUGAUGCGGAGAGUGCGUGUUCCACGCUUGUGCUACAAUUUCCUUAAACCCCGGUAGCAUGGUCCAGAAAUUCUCAAACUUGAAGGAUUUUGGUCGUCUGAGGCCCCUCUUGUUGGAGAGCAAGAUAGGACAAUGGUCGGAUAGGAAAGUUGAUGGGGCAUGUAGAACGUGUGUGCAGAAAGCAUUUUCCCAUUCCGCAUUUGUGAAAACUCUGUCAAGUCUAACAAGUGUUGGUUUUGUCUCUCAUUGCUCCAAGUGAAUUUCCUAUUUUGGAGGUGGACCUCUCGUAGAUCAGAGUCAUCAAGAAUUUCCUAUUUUGGAGGUGGACCUCUCGUAGACCAGAGUCAUCAAGUGCCUGUUUGAAUAGGUUCAUAAGCCUCAAGUUCAGCCUGUUAUUGUUUUUGUCGCUCGCUUUGUACAUGAGGUUAAAAUCGCCAAGGACUAACCAUUGAGAGCCAGGCGGGGGCUCCUGCACUUGUAUUUUUACUAGGAAUUGUGGUUUGUCAUUAGAUCGUGUUGGGCCGUAUACAACGGAGAGCGUGAAGGAAUUUUCCGUUUCAUGCAAUGCUACUGUUGUUGUUAUAUGAUACUCCCUCCGUUCCAAAUUAUAAGUCAUUCCAACUUUCUUGGAGAGUCAAAGCAUCUCAAGUUUGAUCAAAUUUAUACAAUAAAGUGCUAACAUUCAUGAUAUCAAAUAGGUACCAUUGGUUUCUUCAUUAAAUAUAUUUUCAUAGUAUAUCUAUUCGGUGCCAUAAACUUUUGUAAUUUUCUCUAUAAUUUUGGUCAAACAUAAAAAUGUUUGACUCUCCAAGAAAGUUGGAAUGACUUAUAAUUUGGAACGGAGGGAGUAAGUUCCUAGCACUAUGUCUGUGAGCGUGACGUGAGAGUUGUUCCAUAACAGAAGGAUGUCGCCUCUGGUUCCAUUAGGCCCCCCAGCCGACUUAUACGAGUAGCUGUCAAGCCGGGAGCCUCCUAAGUAACUGGCCGUGUAGCUGUCAAUAUCGCUUAACUUUGUUUCUUGAAGGCACACAAUGUGACAAAGGGCGGUGGAAAUGGUCUCUCAUACUGUAUCUCUUCUCACUCUUUGAUUUAAGCCUCUCACGUUCCAGCACAGGACUUCAAGAUUCAUGCGAGGUUUGUGAAACAAUUGCUGCAGGGUGGCUUGCAACGCCAGUGGAGCAGGUAGCCCCACGCAGAUAAGAAAUGAGACACACAGGCAAUCCAUUCUUGAUCAAAACACGAAGGGGUCGAGUUGCAGGCAUAAGUGGAGCACCAUAGCAUUGUUCUGGUACUAAGGUUACAUUCCAACUGAAAAGAAGCAUAAUAAAAGCGACGACUGAGGCGCAUAGUGUAGCAAUUACAGACAUUGUAGUUAACAUAGUAAAUUGCAGGACACUGGGUGGUUGCUGCACUUGGAUCAGAAGAUCGCCUGAGGAGAUGCUGCUGCUGCAGCGAUGGUUCCUUCCUGGAUAUUGUUGGCGACUUCCCCUGGUCCUGCCUGGGCUAUUUCACCUUGGAUGUCUUCAAUGGCGUCGCCUGCCACUCGGGCCAUUGCAUCGUCCAGCUCUUGAGCAGCAGAGUCAUCAAGGUUGAAUGUUGCCGUCAACGCCGCAAUGACGUCUUGAGGCACCGGACCCUAGAACAUGGCUAAGUAAUCCUACAAAGUAGCCUCGAUGGGCUGGAAUUCAUCAGUGAGUAGACCCAAUUUGCAACAUAGAUUAUGCUGCGCUCUUUGAAUCGCCGGCAUAGGCCUACGAUUGGAUAGUCUUGCACUGCGGCGUACCGUCGACAUGUCGAAAACGCGUCUUGGGCCGCAGGAUUUCGACGCCUUGUCUUGCUGCUGCUGGGUCUGGUCCUCCAAGCGUGACUCCGUUGGCAAGGGCUGAAGCAGCUGUGCCAACCUGGUGAAGAAGGCACUGGCUGCAGAAGUUGCCAUGGGUGUGCUGUUGACAUUCCUGGCGCUUUUUUCCGCUCCACUAGUGGUCUGCACCUGCUCAACAUGGGGAGGGUUAGGGGGCAAGGAUCCCUGUCAAACAGAGAUGUCAGCGGUAGAUCCUGGCUGAGGCUUUGUAGGUGCACCUGAAGGUUGUGCAGCACUGCCUCAACAGCCUAGACCGAGACUGGUUUAGAAGCAGCAUCAUGCAAUCCAUUCGCGCCAUCUAUGUUGUCGGGGGGAAAAGCGGCAUCUGUUCAUGAAAAGGAGAGUUAGAGGUGGUGUGGCGGCUGGGUGAGUUGUAAUCAGCAACUACAGCCGGAGACGGGGGCGAAGGCUCCUGAUUGCAGCCGAGAGUAUGCGCCUGUAUCGUAGUUUGGCCCUCCAUGGCUGAGGUGUGGUCAGGUACUGCCAGGUCCUCCUUGAAGCGAUUGAACACAUGUGAAACCUUCAUCAUCAGCGGACUCAUGUUGUCUUAGCACCGCUCCCCGAACCAGGCUUCAUCCCCUUCGUGUGGAAGGUGGAGAGCAUCGGCCAAGGCGGCCGCUUUGCUGAUGUAAUCGUACAUGCUGGGUAGCUGGGCUGUGUCGUCGUUGAUCUUCCCGGCAUUCCUGCACAGAUAAUUUGUGGCUGCCUCCUUCAAAUUGGAUGCACGGUUAGUGAACAGAAAUUGGAGUUCAGUUGCUCACGCAUCGCGGAGGGGGCCAAACAGAGAGAGCUGCUGGGGCCUGGAGGUGCCGCUGGAGAUGUACUGGUGCCGCCGUGCUCCCGCCACCCCAAGUCUAGCGCCUGGGCUGUAACAACUCUACCUUAAUUAGGUGUAGUUAAACUUAAGAAAGUCAUUAGCCACUAAGUAGAGGAGGUGAAAGGUCCAAAUUGCCCCUAAAAAGUUCCUUUUGGAGUUAAAUAGAAAACUUGAGUUUCUAUAUACCAACUUAAAUCUAUGUCCAAAUAAGAGUUGUAAAACUUUUAAUUUCAAACAAAUUUUAUUAAUAACACUUUGGCUAAUUUGGAGUGGGAGAAGGUCAAAAACAAGAAUCAAAUCAGGAGUACAUCAAAAUCCUGCAAAUGACCAAGUCCUAGAAUUCAUGUUUUUCCUCAACUUUGCAACCUGUUAUCUCACCAUUCUAUAUCUAACCUCAAGUCAGACCUUUAAUAGAAGUUCUAGUUCCUUGAGUGUGUUACAACUUUAUUACACUUACCCAGGUCCAAAUCACAACCAAACCUGCUCAAAAACUUGGUCAAAACCGUGUAAAACAGUCAACUCAGCCUCUUUGCAUCCCAGCGCUGUCUGAAAAACAUCCAGAGCACGUAUCUUGGCAAGCCCGUUCCUCCUAAAAGCUGAACUGAACUCGAGAAAAGUCCCUAAUAGAAAUUGGAGUCCUAAGAUCGAAGAACAUUUCUUUCAAUUACAUCUUGGCCUGAUUCAAAUGGGAAGGUACUCAAAAUCUGAGCCAAAGUCGGCCAAAAUGCUGAAAACAGCAAAACCAAGAUAUCUGUCUAAGUCCCUGGAGGCCGGCGUUCUGCCGAACUUUGCAACUCCGUAGUUUCAAAUCUAUUUCGAUUUUAAGAAAACUCCUUUUUUAAGUUUGGAGCUGGAUGUUAGGUCUACAUGUUUUACUUUUGGAGUUUCACGAGUUCUUUUGAAAAGUUUGGAGAAAAACACCUCCAAAACCGGCCCUUUCAGACUGCCCUGAGGCGCACCUCGCCCAGCGCGCGCCCGGCAUGUUCGCCCGAGCGCCGCCCGCCGCGUGGCUCUCGCCCACUGGGGAGCUCGCCGACAGCCAACCGACGGCCACGAUGGAACAACUCGCUCGCUGGGACGCCCAAUGACCGUGCGACCCUAUCCUUCCUCUGCCUGAGCAUCUCCCUCGCCCAAUGCCGCGCCGCACCUCUGCCGCUCCCCUCCGCCACGCCAUGGCUUCUCGAUGGCCGAGCUCCGCCUCCCCAAUCCGCCGCUCGACGGUGACAGGACGACCCCCCGGCUUGCUCAAUCGCUCCGCCAGACAAAGAAGAUCUCGCACACCUCCUAUCUCUCCCGUCCAAUCAUCGGAAGAUCUUCGCAUACGCCCGCGCCAUCCCUCCGCCAGUGAGUGCCGCCGGCCAAUAGCGCCACCCUGUUCUCCUCCCCCACUCGCCUCCGGCCACGUCCGCCGCCAGCAUUGGCUCCGCCCUCGUCCUCCGCACCUCCUCGGCCCUAUAAAAGGAGUCGAUGCACCGCCUGCGCAGCUCCCCACACCCGCAAAGCUCCACCGCCUCCUCUUCUUUAAGCACCACCGCAUCACCCUCCCGUGGAGCCCUUGUCUCCACCGCUCCACGCGCCUCACCACCUCAACCGCCAGCUCUGCUAUCACCCCACGCUGCUACCCGAGUAGCUUGUUUCCCUCCCGGAGCCCCGCUGUCGUCGCAACUCCGUCGGGACUCCGCCGCCGAAGCCACCUCCCGUCACCAAGCUAUUCUACCGCCGCUGAGCCCGCUCCGAUGCCCCAAUCGCCACCAAUCCCUCCCCGGUGAGCUCCCGCGUCUCCCCCGCCUAUUCUUGCCCUCGAUUGACCCCAAGAUUCGCCGGAAUCGAGUCGAGCUCGCCGCCAGCCGCCGCAAGGGCCUCCCUGUGUUUUUUACCUUUUUCCAGGGACCUUAGUGCAAGAACUAAGGACCCCUGCGUGAAUAAACCAUAGAGACGAGGGUUAGAUUGUAAGUUGUUUUCGGUUUAUUGUUUUAAAUCGGUAGAAAAUAGGAUAAACUUUGUAAAUGCACCACAAAUCAUAGAAAAAUCAGAAAAAUGUCAAACCACUUUUGUUGGACUCAGUGAACUGUCUAGUUUCUUAUAAAAAUAAUCUUUCCCAUGUUACUAUUGUAAAUAAUACCCUAUAGUUUUAUUUCUUGCUUAGGCCUUUCAAAUCAUAGUAAAUCAAAGAAAAAUGCUAAAAAGGUAAAUCCAAUUCUGAGGCCUAUGUUUCAGUGAGUAGAAGCUCAGAAAAAUACUUAGGGCCCUAGAGUAGAACUUUAAAUUACUGUUUUAACCUUAUAUUUGAAAUCUAGGGUUAAAUCUUUCUUUUUGCAUAAGUUUUAAUCCAGAGCUGAGAAAAAUAUGCAACCACUUAGAGUAGCUUAGUUUUGGAGUUUAGUUCACAGGGAAAAUAUGAAACCUUGGUUGAAACUUGAUGAAACCCACCUUCCUUUUUAGAGCAAGAUAAAUAGGAGUAAAAUAUGGGAAAUAGAUGUCCUUCUCUAAAAAUCAUGAAAAUUCACCAAUCUCUCUGUAACACACUUUCAAUCCACUGUUAAAGUUUCACCCUCACAAUCACUGUAGGUUUUGAGAUUAAGGGCUUGUUUGGUACGGCUCCACUCCACAACUCCAACAACUCCAGCGAAAAAACCAGCCAAACACCCCAGCUCCAAAACUCUAUGGAGCUGCCAACUCCGUGGAGCUGUAGUACAAAUGGGGGUGGAGUUUUGGAGCACCUCUUUUGCUGCUCCAAAACCCCAUCUUUUUAACCUCCUCGUGGAGUUGACGGGUAAUUACCUACCAUGCCAGUAGUUACACAAGAAAACACUUCGCUUCUAUUCCUCCGAGAGCCCCCGCGCCUCAUCCCAAUCCCGUGCGCUGUUCCCCUGCGCCUCGUCCCGAGCCCAGCCGCCGGCCUCCCCCGCCGCCGGCCGCCGAGCCCCGCUGCAGGCUGCCCGAGGCCCGCCGCCGGCCGCCCCAGCCUCCCCCACCGCUGGCUGCCCGGGGCCCACUGCCGUCACCGGGCACAUCUCCCUCCCGACGGCUCCAUGCACCAUUCCGUGAGCGCCAGGUUACUCUCCAGCUCAUCCAGCACCGCGUGGCUGCCGACAUCCGUGGAUGUAGAAGUUCUCGAAUGCCAGCUUGAAGUCCGAGAUGUACGGCUUCACCUUCUUCAUCUUGAGCAGCUUCCUCGCGGCUAGCGUCGCCACGAAGAGGAGCUGCUCCGACACUGGCAGCACCAGCGGACCCAGCAUGGUGAUGUUGGUCUUGAGCGCAUUGCCGGCCACCUCCAUCAGGUCCCUCGACAGCAACACGCCCAGGUUCCCCUCGCCGUUAGAGACAUCCAUUACAUGGAAGUGCUGGAAGUCCUCUUGUUCAUGUUUUUCUUUUCUGGUUAAUUUAUUCCAGAAUGUAUGAGUUGGAAUUUGGAGCAGAAAUCUUUCUUGCUUCUUGAUGUACUAGCCUGAUGAUUCAUCAGUUAGGUUCUGCAGAUCGGUAUUGUUAUUCAGGGACGCUGAUAACUCACUUUUAGUGGUGCAGACAUCUGUAUAUGCAAAUGGAUAAUGCCAGCAAGUUGGAUCAUCUUUGCUCGCAGUCGCCGAGAUCAAGUUUUGUUGCUGUUGCCUGCUGAGACUAGAAAAUUUGCUCCUCCUCCUGCCCAGCAGAGAAGGUCGUAGCAUCACUCAAUUCAUUCUGUGGAUUAACCUCUUCACUUCAGGUGGCGGUUUAAUUGUUUAGACCUUUCAGUCUUUCAUGUGCACCUGACUCUGAAAGUAGGCUGCCAGCGUGUGUAAAGCUUUUGACAUUUUGUAGGAAUCCUUCCUCUUUCACGGGAGUAUGUAGCCCGCGGAAAAACGCAAGGUAAAACACGCAGGAAUUAUAGCGUAUGAGGCUCGGAAACAUCUUUUUUUCAUGCACAGUGACGGCGUCGGGUCGAAGAGGCUGCAGUUGACGACACCUCUACUACGUACCUGAGGAUGAAAAGAGCAGGAUAGGAGAAUGACAGGUGGGACCAUGAGUUGGGGGUAAGAAUGGCAAUUCACCUCUGAACUCCUCUUUUCUAGAGCUGGGACACCCUCCUAGCCAAACACCUCCACCAGACAGCUCUAGCUCCACCUAGAGCUGGCUCCACCUGGAGUUCUGGAGUGGAGCAGCUCCACCCAGAGUUGGAGCCAUGCCAAACAGGGCCUAAAAUGAUUAAGUGCAUGCUACCCUUGGUAAUAAAAUAAUUUUAAUUCUUUUUGUGCUAACCCAAUGGAUCCCAAAUUUUUACAGUAACUCAUUGAUGACAUAGGUAAGGUGCUGUAAAUUUCUCAAUGUCAUAUGUUGCUAUUUGCUUGUGGAACCAAAUUUUGGAUGAGGAAUCGGUUUAAGUGAAUAAAGAAAUGUAAGUCCGAAUAAACUUAAUGGGUAAUUUUUGGAAGAAGUACAAAAAAACAUUCAGAAAUAAUGACUCUCCAAAUGAACCCCAAACUAUCCUAAAAGCGACCCCACCUUCCUUGUGAAACUCUAAGUUGUAGGAAUCUUAAGACUCUAGGUGCUUUUGGUAAAAAAAACCACAGCCAAAAAGUCUUGCAUGACUAGGAGUCGGUGAAGUAGUUAUCACCUGUCGGGUUAGUCUUGCUGAGUACUAGUUGUUCAGUCUUGCUUGUGGCUAUGUUUUCAGGUAGUGCUGAGUAUGAGGAAAUGGUUGCCAUCUUGACUUGGCCGACCCAACUCCCUCCGGGUUGCUCAGUCGAGUGGAAACUAGCCUCAGACAGCAUGGAUCGUUGAAAUGGAUAUCAUGGUCGGCUUCGCCCUGGUAUUUUGUAUCGUCGUGUAGCUUCCGCUGUUUUACUUCUUCAUUGUUUACAACCUUGCAAACUUUGUUUGGAUUUCGAAAAAUCUGAUGUAAUAAAGUGUUGAACUAUGUUAAUGUGAUGGGAAUGUUGUAAUCUCUGUGCCACUCACCUUCGCGUGAGCAAUGCUUCUCGAUCCUGAGUAAGUGGUUUAUCGGAUGAAAUCCGAUGGACGACCAAGUUGAUUUGGUUAAAGUGCAUGAUCACAUGUUAGGCGACUUAAGUACAUUUUAUUCAGGUUAAUUUGGGCAGUUCCGCCACAUGGGCAAGCGAUCACGUUCGCGGCUAGCUUCUCCGGAUGUGCCCUUGUGUGCGUCGUGGGCACGUCGGGCACGAUCACCUCGCCCGUGGUGAUCACGGUCGUCGUCAUCGUCGUCGCUUCGCCGGCGCCAGACAUUCCACUUGCUGGCGGGAUGGUCGUUGUUGUAGCUUUGCCGCUGACGGUCCUCCUUGUCGUCACGCCGGUCGCUCUCCCCCGUGGUGCUGCUCCGACCAUGGCGAGAAUGGUCAGAGCGUGGGGGUGAACGCGGGCGCACCUCACGUUCCACCACCCAGCGAGACCUCAUCUCCCCAUUGAUGCACCCAAGGUGCCAGGGAGAAAGCCGGCGGAUGGACGCCGUGUAGGUCGUCCUAUCAUCGAGGCUGACAGAUGCAAGGGUGUAGUCCUGGACACCGCGUUGUCACUGUCCGAGAGAAGACUUCAACACCCAAACCUGUAGCCUUCCCCUUCUGGAGUGCUUCGGUGCAGUGCUUACUGUACUUGAACUUGAUAAAAAAAAGCCUCAGGAAAGUGGCGUGAAACUGUCACCUCACCAUGGUGCAACCUGAAGUCCUCCCUGAUGGCGCGCUCGACGUCGUGUGGGUCGAUCAGUUCCUAGCCUCGCAGUGCUCAGGUGACCGCCGCUAUCAUCUCCUACUCUCGCAAGUCAGUGUCAAUGUCGCCAGUUGCUUGAACGAGACAAUCCACCUGGUUCGGCCUGGUCGUGGGGUCGUCGAGCCAUGACAUGAUCGUCGAAGGUGCAGGCUUCGGUGGUGGGGGCAGGUGCUGGCGAGGUGGCGACCGAGCCUGGCGAGGUGGCGUCUGCUGUUGGGGUGGAGAUGAAGCUUGGGAUGGGGACAACUGCUGGCGAGGUGCGGAUUGAGGGGGCGGCUGCUAGCGCGGUGGAGACGGAGCUUGGCGAAGAGGUGGCUUCUGACGAGGAGAAGACUGUGCUUGAUGAAGAGGCGAUUGGUGAUGGGAUGGAGACAGAGCGCAGCAACGAGGAGGCGUGCGUCGGUCCUGCUACCCGGCAUACACUGCGCGACGGCGAGGGCGAUGUGCCGACGGGCUCCUGUUGCUGCGACGGUUGGUGGAGCAGAACUUGGCGCGGUGGUCGGAGCGAAGACAGAGGAUGCACCAGACGGGGUCGCGGUAGGACGAGGCACGGUGGUCCGGGGUCAAGCAGACGAAGCAACGCCUAUUUGUUUUGGCCUGGAAUGCUUGCAGGGUUGGGGAAGGUUGGAGCUAGGGGAGCCUUGCAGGGGAGAAGGUCGGCGAGGCGGACUUGACAGGCGCCCUCUCCUCCACUAAUAUGGCUACCUGACCGGCGUCCAGCCAUCCUGAGGAGUGAUGAAGCCGUCCUUGCGCCGCGCGUCGAUCACCUCAGGCACGACUUCUGAGGCGACGGGGCGGGAGGUGGGUGGAGGAGGUGCGCGGCGGGAGUAACUACUCUAGACUGGCUCUUCUGUGCAGGCGGGGCGAUAGGUGGGUGGAGGAGACGCGCGGCCAGAGGCGGAGUUACUACAGUGGGUGGGUGCAGUAAAGACGGAGAGCGGAGCCUUCCCGGGUGAAGCCGAAACCGGCGCAUUACCGCCCCUGACAGCUUGCGCGUAGGAGAGAUUGGGUCGGGAGGAGCGUGUCUGCUGCGGAUUCGGCGAGCUCUGCACGGAGGAUCUUACCUGAGAUGCUUCUACGGCCCUGGAUUUCAAACUGGCGAAAGGGGGGAUCUGGGAGGAGCUGUAGCUACUGAAGUCUUUGGAGCUCCCUACAGACAUGGACGGGGGCUUGGCGCUGGCUGAGGAGCCGGCAGUGGGGACAACCAGGAGGCAGCGGAGGUUCUGGGUGCUGGGUGGAAGCGGCGUUGGGGCUUGGUUGUCAGCGGGGCGGGGCUCGCCGCCACCGGGAAGGGAGCGAGCUGGGAGAUGCACAUGCUUGGUUGAAGCUGCAUCAAUCAAUGCUUCAUUUCGUUUGCUAGUUAUUGCAAUAAUCUUUGUGAGUCACAAGGAUAGAUAAAUGUAUUUGAAAAUUCAGUCCGAUUCAGUCAAAUUUUGUUAAAACAUGAAUUUUUUACUAGUCAAUUCAACUGGAUCCCAACCCGAAAUUUUCCGAAUUUUCGAAUUUCAUCCAAUUUGGUUGGCACCGAAUUUUUUGAGCUUUUGAAUCCCAGAACCCUGUGAUCGUGACGGGCAGCCACAUGCUGCGCGAGUGCUCUGUAGGAUGGGUAAGCUACAUAGUAGUACUAUGUAUGAGACUAACUUGCUGCCUGCCCUUGCCAUUAUCGGUGUCAAAUUGUUGGUCGUUUUAACUUUUUUAAUUCAUAGAUAUUAUUAUGCAUCUAGAUAUAUUGUAUGUUUAGGUGUAUAAUAAUAUCUAUGAACCGAUCAAAAUGACCGAUAAUUUGGAAUGGAUGGAGUAGUAUUCUAGUCAGAGCCUAGCACUAGCAGAUCGAGUAGCAUUCGGGUUGGCUACCUCAGCAGGCGCGCGCCAAUGGAGCGUUCUCGUUUGGCGGCAAAUGGGCAUGUAGAGAUUUUGCAUCGAUUUGGUGCCAACAAGCAAAAGCACCACUCCGUAGAGACUUACGCAUUCGCAGCAUGCAAACGUGAACUAGGUAAUACGCGUCCACAGCGGGUUUGGUCAUUAUAUUGUUCUCGAAGAACCUGUCAAGUGUGCCCAAAACGUAUCAGAAAGAACUUCUUUUUGGAAUGAACGAGAAAGCCACUACUCCAACAGGUGCCAAAACUGGUUGCUAAAUUUUCCAAGUGCCCAAUCUCGGCGGCCUGAUGAGCCAAAUUUACGCCCCUCUGUCGCACUCCCAAUCCCGGAAAUUUGCAUCUGUGCGCCAGUUUUGCAGGUCCCGCCUCUAUCCAUCUUCCUCUCUCCUCUCGCAGGUGGCCAUGGCGUGCGCCCCGAUGCCUGGAGGAACGUGGAUCGGUGUGGUGGCAGUCAGCGCUGCUGCAGGUUAGAACCAGCACCCUCUAUUUUUCACUUCAUGUUGAUUUGCUCAAUGAAAUUUGCGCGGAAGAUUUCCUAUAUGCAAUGUCCAAAAUUAUUUUGUCAAAAUCUAUAUAUAAAGAUUAAAAAACUAUGAAUUUUUUGAAAGCGCUUGGAGGUCCAUGGAUACUAGAUGAUAAAACAACGCUUCGGGUCAGGGGAAGACCGUUCCAACUGUCAGGGCGUGGCUGAUUUUGAAGUUUUUUUUGAGAAAAUAGAGUCACUAUUGGAGAAGGUCAUGCUUUUUUUGCCCAAAAAUCUUUUUGGGCAGGUCCAAAAACCGGAUUAUUGGGAGUAGAUGCUCUUAGCAACCUGGGAACUGGGAUACAUGCUGAGUUCGCUUUUGGUACCCAGAGUUUAUGAGGUGUUUUCUUCCACUGACUUAUUUUUAGCACGUGUCACAUCGAAUGUUUAGAUACUAAUUAGGAGUAUUAAACGUAGAUUAUUUACAAAACCCAUUACAUAAGACGAAUCUAAACGGCGAGACGAAUCUAUUAAGUCUAAUUACGUCUAAUUAAUCCAUCAUUAGCAAAUGUUUACUGUAGCAACACAUUGUCAAAUCAUGGACUAAUUAAUAUGCAAUGUCCAAAAUUAUUUUGUCAAAAUCUAUAUAUAAAGAUUAAAAAACUAUGAAUUUUUUGAAAGCGCUUGGAGGUCCAUGGAUACUAGACGAUAAAACAACGCUUCGGGUCAGGGGAAGACCGUUCCAACUGUCAGGGCGUGGCUGAUUUUGAAGUUUUUUUUGAGAAAAUAGAGUCACUAUUGGAGAAGGUCAUGCUUUUUUUGCCCAAAAAUCUUUUUGGGCAGGUCCAAAAACCGGAUUAUUGGGAGUAGAUGCUCUUAGCAACCUGGGAACUGGGAUACAUGCUGAGUUCGCUUUUGGUACCCAGAGUUUAUGAGGUGUUUUCUUCCACUGACUUAUUUUUAGCACGUGUCACAUCGAAUGUUUAGAUACUAAUUAGGAGUAUUAAACGUAGACUAUUUACAAAACCCAUUACAUAAGACGAAUCUAAACGGCGAGACGAAUCUAUUAAGUCUAAUUACGCCUAAUUAAUCCAUCAUUAGUAAAUGUUUACUGUAGCAACACAUUGUCAAAUCAUGGACUAAUUAGGCUUAAUAGAUUCGUCUCGCCGUUUAGAUUCGUCUUAUGUAAUGGGUUUUGUAAAUAGUCUACGUUUAAUACUCCUAAUUAGUAUCUAAACAUUCGAUGUGACGGGUGCUAAAAAUAAGUUAGUGGAAGAAAACGGGGCCUAUAGUCCCUUCCUAACCGGAAGUAGCUAAUUUGCAACUUUAAAUUUUUGCAUCCAUGACUCUAUGUACAGUCGUACUAGAACGUAAGAUGCUAGCUGACAGUGGUACUUUUUUUUACUAAACUGACAGUAUUACAGAGACAACUAAAGUUGCUAGCAAAAAAAAAUGUUGUGCCAAAAGGGCCAAGAUAACAGAAGCGAAUGGGAUUAGUACGAGGUGGCAUGCUUCAUCACACAUGCUCCAUGAAAGGCUCGGCCCCAUGCCCCCAUGGUCCGGUUGCCCCCAGCGUUGGAACUCAUCACGCGAGAGCCGAGCGCGGGCUCGAUCACGCACGCACGUCUAUCGUUCAUGGAUCCCCCUCCCACCCAGAGUCCCAGUGUCUCUGUCGUGUACUUGUGGGUGACUGGUGGGCUGGUGGCACCUCCUGGCCCGCUGCUCCCUGCUCCUGUUCCGUUCAGCUGUUCUCUGUUUGGAGGCGAGGCAGAGCAGAGGCGAUAGGCUCGAACUCGAGAGUGGACGAAGAGAUCGUCGAUGGUUUUGCGUGGUGCCGGCCGGGGGCGGGUCCCCUCGCACGUCCUCGCGCCCUCCGUCCUGACACGCGCGCGUACCCGGGCUGUGCUGCAGCCUGCACCAAGCUCUCUGCAGCAGGCUGGUUCAGAAAAAAGAAAAAGACCGCCCGGGCGCAGGCUCUUUUGUCCCCUGGGCGGCACGCACGCCAACACGCACUGACGUCGUACAGGCACGGCGCACGCACCCGAUCGAUCGCCCGUCCAAACUCGCCGCCGUUCUCGACGUGCCGGCCCCGGCACCGUCUCGUCCGAUCCAGAGUCAAGAAGAGAACCUUCCCAAGAGCUCGUGCAUUGUUCGCUCGUGUGCUUUGUUUGCUUUGGUUCGCUAGAUCCGAAUUUUGACGCAACCGAUCAGCGCGGGCGAGGGAGCGGGAGCUGGCGUCCAUCAAGCGGUCACGCGGCGGUGGCGGUCCGAGUAAAGACGGCAGGGGUGGAUGCGGCGGCGGCGCGGCUCGGGGGCUCAGAGCGGCGGGCUGGCGUGGAGGUGCAUCGGCAAUUUCCGAGCGCGGACUUGGUGGUGUGGAGCGGUGGCAGCAAGCAAGCUAGGCGCGCAGCGGCAAGCGGUGGCGGCGGCGGCUCAGAGGCGGCAGAGAUGGUGGCAAGUCAUUAUCGCAAGAAGUUUUGUGUCUGCGCACAUGGUACUACUGAGAUUCCGACGGCGGCAAGGUGGAGGCGAUGUUAUUGGAGUAGCUCGGUGGCACCAUGUCAUCCUCGAUGGCAAAGCAAGUCCGAAUCCUUAGUGUGGAGUCCAGCGACGGAAGUGGCGAGGCUCCUAUUCGCUUUAAGGUGAUGUGUCCGAGGAGUAGUAUGCGGCGGUGGAUGUGGCGACGCCCCCACGGGUUUCGAGUUGCCUUGGAGGGUCAGGAUCCGGUGCGGUGUUUUGGUUGUUUGGUGUGCACGGUGCGGCAGCGGUGCUUCGGCGUUGGGUCCUGCAGAGCGAUGGCCUUUUCGGUGUGGUGCAGUGUGCUCCUCUCUUGACUUAUGCUGAUACAAAGACGUGAUUGGGAGAUCGACGACCGUGUGUGUGACCUGAGGCUGACGGCGGCAUGGUGGAGAAGCCCUGGUAGCUACACGGCUUGCAACGGACUGCGGCGGCCAGUUUUGCAUGGCAGCGACUGAUUCGGCAUGGGACAUCGUCGGAGACAACGGCGAUGGCGAUAGGGGCUACUUGUCGGCUUUUUCUACUGGGUGGUGGUGGUGCGGAGUGGUGGUCGUAGCAUUGUGUGGCUUGUGUCAAUGUCUUAAUCCGAUCAGCCGUCAAAUUUUUUUAAUUUUGAGUUAAAUUGAGUCGGCACUGGAACUACUUUUAUGACUUUGUUAUUAUUUUCAAUCUAAAAUCUCUUUUCUUUUUAAUAUAAUCGACAGUUGGUUUAAAAAAAAAGAUCAGCAGCUAGCCUCUCCGGCCGGACGAGGCGAACGGGGAGCCCCAACGGGCUGACGGUGACGGGCGGGCGGGCGCUGCCACGUGCCGCCGGGUCUGGAACAAGACGGCGGCGGCGAGCGUGUCGUACAAGACUAGUACAGCAAUUUGCUCGCCCGGUUCCUGUCUUGAUUGAUGCGAUCGCGAUCCCCCUCGAGUCCUCGACCCUGGCGCCCCGCCCGGCGGGUGCUGCCUCCUGGACGCACUGGCACGCACGCCGCGCCGCGCCAACGGCCGGGCGCACACACCCCCUGCCCUGGCCCGGCGUACUCUGCGCACCGGCACCGCUUGAUGAUGGCGACGGGCACCGCACAGCGCGAGUGGUAGCGCUAGCAGUAGGCUGCUUGCUAGCUACGGAGUAGUUACUAGGCUGGGUUAAAGCUAAGCUACAGCCUACUAUAGGGGGACCAAUUGGUGGCUGCCUGCUGGCCCCUGGACUGGAUUUUCCGGUUCACUCGAGCGCAAGUUGCACAGCGGUUACUCCUACUUCCACUCGACUGUUGUUGUCUAGCUGCUCACAUGACUUGGUCGGUGGGGCUCCAGGGCUCCUCCUCGUUUGUUUGGCCACGACCCUGUCCAGACUUGAGAACGUAAAAAUUUUCUGAUUUUGCAUCAUCAACAAAGCUAAAGCUAGUGCGGUGCAUCGUUACCCCGUGCUCGCUCUCGCCUCUCCCCUCGCAGGCGCAGCUGCCGGCGGUCGGGGCCGGUUCCGUGCUAUCCUCCGAAUCUGCAUCGCUCCGCCUCCGCAGCGCUGCCACCGCGCAGCCUUUCCCGUACGGCCAUACGUACGCCCCUCCGGCCCGCACAGGGCGCCGGUCGCCAAAACGACAAGACGCGGGGGGCAGCUGGCUGGGCACUGCUUCUGCUCCUGCUGGUUGCUGCCGAUCGAGCAGCCUUCGCGUUUCACCUACUACGGCUGUACGAUCGAGCUGAUCGCCGAGCCUUGGUGAUGAUUCGAGCGAGCGGCUGUGGCCGUGCCGCCGUGCGUGCCCGUGCAUGACGGAUAUCCACGAUCAGUUCCACCCGGAUCGGAGCCCUACCUCUCUUCUCUACCGCACGGACGUCCGCCCGGCGCCGCCCCGUCCGCCCCUGCCUGCUCAAUCCAUCUCGAACGAAUUUGUUUAUAUUCGUGCUAGGGGUGUUCUCGUUGUGUCACUUUUUUUGCCUUUUAAAGAGGCAUAAUUCAAGCGUGCGUGUCUUGCUUUUCCCUUUCUUAAUAACAAAAUUUAAAAAAAGGUUUGGUUUGUGUCUUGUAACAGGGCUACUAAUUUUCCGCUCCACCGAACAUAUAGCCACAUAUAUGAACGUAAAUAAACUUAGAUACAACAAGCUUGUGGAGCGCUCUGAUGAUCUUUAACCGGAAAACAUAUCAAGAACUUAUGGGCUUGCUUCUCAAUGGCUCCACAACAUCCUUAUCACCACCAUACAUUUCCCCACCUUCUCCUACGACCAUCACCACCAACACCUUUCUUUAUUUUCCACACUUUCACGAAUUAGGUUAUUUCUAUAAUGGCAAGAGUAAACUCGCCUGCGAUUGGAGUACGAUAUCGAUGACCAUACUACGCAUGGUUGUCACGCACAUCACUCUCUCGAGGCCACUUGCAGCAAGGAAAUGUAGGAGAACAGCGUGUCUUGACGUAGCUAUGGUGCAACUGCUAUAUAUAUGGAUGUCGUCCUCUCCCUUAUGUUAUGUUAUGAUGCUAACAAAGAUAAAUCGCUUUUCAAAGUAGCUAGUACAAAAAGGUGAGAGAAAAAAUAGCAUUCCUUUUUGGAAACUUGAAGAAAGGGUAAGAGGGGUCAAGGAGAAGGGCACAAGUGCUGUACCUAAAUACCAUCUUCGCCCUCUGCCCCAUCUCCUUGCUUUCCUUCUUUGAAGUUUGUGAGUGCCUCCAUAUUCUUACUUGUCUCACAGACAUAGGAAGGUAGGCAGGGCGCACGAGCCACAAAAUGCCCAUCAAUAGUUACUGAUAUAUACUUCUUCUGUUUCAAUUUGUAUAUUAUUUUGACUUUUCUAGGUUCAUAGACAGGGGCGACGCUAGAGCCCGGAGGAUUCGAGUGCACACUUGACACUUCAAUAUAUACAUGUAAUAAAAAUCUUGUCCAAUGUAUACAAAGUCAAAGGAAAUGCUUACCAAAAUAGAGAAUCUGGUACUCUUGAUAGUUAAUAUUAAUAAACACCAACAAAACAUUAUAUGGUAUGUAUACAAUUGGCAAAAUACACCAUUAAGUUGACUCCUUGAUGAGACAAUGACUAAAAAAGUGUUAAUUAGAUGAUCCAAUAUUAUAAGAAAAAAUUCGAUUCACCAAUUGGAAAAUGGUAAGAAAUCAAUUGAUUACCUCUAAGUAUUUUUGAUUUCCACCUUUCCUGAAGCGAUCCACUAUAACAUCAUUUGUAACUUUCAACAUUUUUUUCUUUCUCCACAUAGCAAAUGAGACUAUGAAUCAUGUACUCAUCACCCAUACGAUUGCGCAAUUGUGUUUUCAUAAUUUUCAUGGCUAAAAAUAUCCUCUCAACUAUAGCUGGGGCGACAGGCAAUACAAGUACUAACUUCAAAAGCCGAUACACCAAACGAUUGGUAAGAUGUAUCCUUAUUUGUACCAUUUUUCAGAAAAGCUCAACAAUUGUAUGUAUGUUGGCAAAUCUAUCAUCUUGACGCACAUCAUCAAUAUAAAGGAAAAGCUCAGCAUUAAGAUCCCUCAACUCCACAUGAUCAAAACCAGCAGGAUAUAAUUUAGCUAGGCUUAUCAAACUGUCCACAUUAAAAUCAUGAAAUGAAUCUCUUGGGUUAAAUGCAACUGAACAUUCAAUAAGGUAGAAAUCUUGUUAAAAAAUUCAGCAAUGCAUGUAUGCUUUCUAGCAACAGCUACAACCACUAGUUGAAGUUGAUGGUUUAAGCAAUGGACAUAAUAUGCACUACUAUUUUCUCUCAUGAUCAAAGAUUUUAACAAAAAAUAGGAGUUGACGAUGAUCGCUCGAGGCCUUGGGCACUGAUUCCGGCGAGGAGGAGUACCGCAGCGACCGGCGAUGGCGCGAGCCCCGCCUCCCUCUCUUUCACCUUUCUGCGAUUCCGGGGCCUGGACGAUGCGUUUGGGCGAGCGAGCUGCUUCCUUCGCGGACGGAUGCUUCAUGUUCUAGUGCGGCUCGUCAUACGCGACGCACCUGGAUGCGACAACUGCUCCAGUCUCUGGAUGUACGCCCCUUGCAAAAUUCAUUGUGGGCUUGGACGCUUGGUUGAUGAGUUGCUGAAAGCUACCGAUUUCUGAGCUGCAUGGCUAUUGGUGGGCCGGAUGGACGGAUGGUGGUGCACCUAACUGGAGUUUAGGGAGUGCACAAGUGGUAUAAUUGAAAAUCAUUUUUUUCCUGGUGCAUGUGCACUCGGCAAGCCAAACGUGACUUCAUCCCUAUUCAUACAUAUUAUUAUGCAUCUAGAUAUACACUAUAUUCAAGUGCAUAAUAAAAAUUAUGCACAUAGAAAAGUUAAAACGACCUACAAUUUGGAACAGGAUAGAAGGUAAAUAGCAUUUUCAUACUUGACACAACACUCUGUCCUUUCGGAAGAGUGACUGUGGAAAAUACAGACCUGUCCUCCUCUACUUCGGUGCCAAUCGGGUCGUGCAGGCGCACGCACACAGCUAGCCCCAGCGCACACGGCCAGUACCGGCAGCCGGCCGGUCCGUUGGUCGAUCGCACGCGUACAAAGCCUCUCCGGCUAGGCGGCUCCCCCACGCACCGAUCGUGGAUUCGUGGUGGCUCGGUUCCGGUCACGUACGUACGCCACGACCACUCCACGGGCUCUUUCUCCGUUUGGGAAAGAGGAGAUGGGACCGAAUCAAAUGGUAAAGAUCCGUCGCCUGCCAUUGGCGCUGCCGCGCCUGUCCUCCUGAGACGAGCCGUACUGGGGCGCUGCAACCCUGCGGCGCCGGGCGCCAGGCUUUUGUCCCCCCGGUGGCACGCACGCCAACGCCCGGAGACGGCAGGCGGUUACGCCCCAGCCCGCGCGCCGGCCGCGUGCGCCCGGGCUCGUCUCGAUCUCGAGUGCGCCCGGCCGGUGGUGUGUAGUGUGCAAUGCGUCCGUGCACGGCGAUCCGUCUGAAAACUGGAAACUAUUCCUCUACGUACUGCCUGAGGUGCGAAAGAACGUUGAGUUCAGCCAAGUGCUACGUAGCUAUAUCCUGCCUAUAGGGGCGCUUGACUGGGCAUGGACCAUCUAGAUCCACGGUUGCAUCAUUGCAACUUACCAAAAACUUGUCCCGUGCUCUAUUUAGAGCAUUGGACACAUGCCGUGGAUGGACCGCCUAGAUCCAUGGCGCUACCAUUGCGCUCGAUCGGUCAGAAGUUCGUUUUUCUCCAUUUUAAUUUCAUCUGACGGCGCCCAAAGUCGUCCACUUUGGUUUUUGCAUCCCAUGAUCACCAUAUUUGCUAGGAAAGAGAGCCGCAACACAUAAUUACGAACAUUCCAGGUUUUUACUCAGAAAACCAAACAAACAGUCUAUUUCCAUUACCGUGUGCGAGUGCUCGAUUAACGGCCCGCGUUGUACCAACUUUGUAUUAAAUUCCUCUUAAUUGAAUGAUGCGCAGCUCUCCUGCGUAUUCGAGAAAAAACCAAACAAACAGUAUAGUUGUUGUGACAAACUAAGUAGUGCAUACCGGGUAAUUUAGCAAGUGACGGUAAUUAGCAAACCGGGUACACCUGGUUACUGAUCAGGCACAACACGAGCCACGAGGAACAAGCUUCAAUCAUGGAGGCCGUGCCUCGCUGCUCCUCCAACAAUGCAUCAUCGUCCAUGCAUCCAAAGCCAGCAGCCUGUUGGCAGUGCUCAUGCUCGUCCUUACCUCUGACGUCAUCCUCAUCACCAACCAACCAAACUCCCCAGCUCGCCCACCAAGAAUGAUACGCGUGGCCCACCUCCAUCUCCAAACCCCUCCCACGCUUUGCAGCCUUGCAGCUCCGUUCGCACGGCCGCGGCUACUCCUCCCAGCAUACCCACCCACCCCUACUGACUCGCGGGCCACAAGCGUCCAGGCCCCACCUCUCAGCGAGUCCAUACGAAGCACCCUCCCCGCCCCCGGCCCGCAGCGGCAGCGCCUGCCCCCCGGGUCCCUGACACAGGCGCCCAGCCGCGGAGAGCGAGGGGAGCUCUCGCAGUCGCAGCCGAGCCGCGGCAGCGGAGCCCCGAUCGAGCGCCGCAACGAGACAAAGCGGCGAGGCCACGCCACCCGCGUCGUCCCACGCCCACCGGCACCUUCCGAGCACCUUCUCCCAUGGGGCUCCACGUGUCGCCGGAUUCAAAUCAGACGGCACGUAACGUACGGGUAGCAGCAGGAUCAUGCACGGGCCGGACGGGGUUGGUGUUGGGGGUUUUGCAUUGCCGUGGCGAAGCCGGUCGCGGAGGCCCCGGUUGCCUGAAACGGCAAAUGGGAAAGCGCGCAAGCCGACGAGGCGGUUUAAAGCUGGGGGCAAAACUCAAAAGCUGUGACGGGUACGGGGAGUGGGUAGAAGCCUGAAGCCCUGCCAGAGAUAAGAGAGAGAGGAGAGGGGACAGCAGCAGGGGGUGGUGAGUUUGCUUGCUGCUGCCCCGGCUGCCCCCGUGGUGAGUACUACAAGAGAGACAAGGAUCGUGCGAGGUGGUUUCUGGACGAGGGCCUGGGCUGCUGGCAUAAAAGCUUGGGGGAGAGGGGUGGAGGAGGACACCAUCCUUCUGGGAGGCGAGCGCGCGUGCGAGGAGCCCGGAGCACCGCCGAGCACGCAUGGGAGAGGUGAGUCUCGCGGGGGUAGCUAGCUAGCUAGUAGCAAUGGCGCGUCCGCGCUCGGGUGCGAUCAUCGGCUUGUUCUCCGGCGCACGCGCCGUUGGGGUUUUCGCUCCGUGCUGCUCUCCUGUGUUUUUGGUUGGUCGAAUCGAAACCCCCGUUGGGUUCGUUGCUCGAGUUGGUUUUUGGUGGAUUUCCAUCGGGGUUCCUCGCUCGCAAAUGUGGCGUGUGUCUUCCGUGCUGCUUGCAGCGGCCUUGCUUUGAUGCCGCCGCCGAUGAUGGGUUCGCCGAGGCGGCGAGCGGCCGUGGACGGAGCUGGAAUUUCUCCCUCAUUUUUUUCCUUUUUUUUUUUUGGAGUUCCGAUCGGGGAAGAGGGCGUGCGUGUUUUUGUUUCCUUCCGUUCGAUUCCCGUUCAGCGGCUCGAUUUCGCUGGGUGCUCCGCAUGAUUCGUGGGUUUCCGGGGGUCCUUCCUGCGAUUCUGGCCGGCCUUCUUCGUCCGCGGCCCUCGGGGGUCUCGCCUCGCCUCGCCUCGCCGCCGUGUGUUUCCCAGCUCGCAGCAGCGCGAGCGCCGGCGGUUCGAGAUGCGAAAUCCGGCCAUUUCAUCGAGUUUUCUCUGAGCCGCUCUCGAAUUUUUGCUUGUUUAUCCCCCGCCGCGUCUCGUCUCGGCGGAUUUCUGUUGCUCGCGGGUUUUGUGGUUUUGUUGCUGUUAGGGUUUUUGGCCUCCGCGAUUUUCUCCCCCAUUUGGGUGGGUCGAGUUCGUCCCCAUUGCUUUGCUUCGGGUAAUUGGGUUUGUACUUGCCUUUUCCUGCGCGGCGUUUCACUUCGAUCGAAGGCUCGCCGCCGUAGCUUUGGGUUGUUGCCUCUCGCCCACCGGGGUUGAUGGAAGGGGACGGGAACAGGAUCACGGGACGAAAUUUCUGCGAGAGCGCUCUCUCCUCGCUCCAUCGCGAGCUCUUCUGAUCACCCCCCAUGUGCCCCCGUUCCAUCCCAUGCUAUUUCUGGCUUUGCUUUUGGGGUUGGGUUUUGGGGUUUUCCGCAGGCUUGCUGAGGUUUUCGUUCCACGCGCUAAUGACGUUUCGGUGCGGUUCGAUGCGACCCACCAUCAUCCAUGCCAUUUUUGGGAUUUCUUCUUGGGGUGGGGAGGUUUCUCUUGCUCCCCCCGUAUCCGAUGGCCGCUACUAUUUCCUAGGUGGUGGAUUCCGAAGGAAUCUUCCGCGCAAAUCUUUUGCGUGGCCGGGUAGCUUCGUAUCUGGUACCUGUGUCCAUGUCGUGUCAUUCGCAUCUAGGUGAUCCGGCCUCCGGCCAUUGAUGUGCUGAUGUGACCCAUCUCACUCAACUGGCCUCCCUGUGAUUUGACCGUGGUCUGAGCAGUGAGCAGGCACUGGCUUGGGGAAAACUCUUGUCCCUUCUGCUUGUUCUUACAUGGGGCGGUCAAUGGAUUCGUCGCGUUCCGUUUUCGUGUCUGUCGAGCGGCUUGCUUGACUGGGCUGAAUUUUUGUUUCCAAUUAGUGGGUUGCGGGUUGGUUUUCAGUUCCGUGCUGUGCUUGAGUUGAGUAAUUUUGGAAGUUUUUAUUUUACCUUUUAGAAUCCUUGCUUGGGUAGUGCAGUAAGAUUCAGUGAUAGCAAUGUUGAGCAAGGACACUGAUGGGUUUGUGGGAUUCCAUUCUGGCUUGUCUUUAGUGGCAAACUUGAUUAGUUUGAUUUUUGUUUCCUGGAUUUGUCACAUUCCACUCUGGCCUGUACUUAGCCUGCUGUUUUCCGGUCCUGCUCCUGCUUUCCUUGUGUUUCCAUUGCUCCCUGCAAAUGCAGUGAAAGUUGAAGUUUCGAUCAUGAGUUGCUUGGGGGUACUGCAAUAAGAUUUUGCCCAUUCUGCUGGGACAUGUCUCAAUUGAAGCAAGUUGAUCAUUUUUUGUUGUAGCAUAAUGUGUUCAAGUGAAUUUCGUCUUUUGAAUUUGCAGAGUUCAAGUGAAGAAACCAGCGGGACGGGAACCGCCGGCAGCAUGGACCGCGUGAAGCACGAGAACUUCUGCCGCGCCGUCGUGGAGGACAACACCGCGCUCCUCCUCUCGGCGGUGGGGCGCUUCAGGAAGGAGGCCCUGUGCCGCAUCCGCAAGGGCUCCGACGCCUCGAGGGUGCUGGACCAGGAGAUGUCCACGAGGCUGCUGCACCUCGCCUGCAAGCACGACGCGGUGGAGUGCGCCAGGCUGCUCCUCGAGGGCGGCAGCGGGAUCACGGCGGCCCCCGUCGAUGCCAGGGACCAGCUCACGCGGACGCCCCUGCACGUCGCCGCUGAGACACACUCGGCCAGGUGCAUCGAGCUGCUGCUCUCCAAGAACGCCCGCACUGAUCUGAGGGUGGUUGAUGGGAGACCUCUUCUCCCGCUUGAGAUUGCGCUAAUGAGCAGGAGGUAUGUGCAUGUAUUCCAUUGCUAGUUAAUGCAUGACUUUGACUGAAUUCAGUCCCCAAGUUUCCUGCAAUAACUGUACUGUUCUGUUUCCUCAUUCACAAUGUACUGUUCUCUCAUUCAGAGUUCAAACUAACUGGUCGCUGGACAAUCCAAUUGAAGAUCUUCUGUCUUUUCUUCAAGGAAGGGUCUGUAUCCUCAUUACUACACUUGCACAUUGUAUGAAUUGUUCCAUAGCUGAUCUGUAGGACUAAAUCCAUCUUUUUACUCAAACUGCCACCUCUCUUUUUGUGUAGGAUCUCAGUGCAGUAAGGCUCCUGGCAGAGAAAACCAGAGUGGUAGGGGAGCUUGCUUACAGAUAUGCCAUGGAGGGACGUGUUCCUUCAUUGGCAAUGCUGCUUCUUGUGGUUGAAGAGAAGAUAUUGGCACAAGUGAGUGUGGUGAUAGAGGGCGUCAGAACAAAGAGAUCAAUUUACAACGCCGUUGUGGAUGAGGCUUUAUCCAUGGGAGAUGCUUCUACUCGCGAUGGAAAUGAAAGGAGAAAGGCCCUGCUAUGUGAGAUUCAGCUGCUUAACCAAUUUGGGUCAGCAUCUUGGAGGGAGCUCAGUGACAGGAGAACAUUACCCCCUCUACUCAGGGCUGCUAAGGUACUACUAUGUCAUUUAGAAAUGCUUAUAAAUAACUUGGUCAGUACUCAGUAGUAUAGCUAUUUCAAAAUUCUACUCAUAUAUUAAAAACAAGGCUUUUGUUUAUGUUGCUUUCUUUUCCAUGAUAUAUGAAAUAAGUAUUUGCCAUAAAAUGUACUAGCAUGUGACUUGUGUAUCCAAUGUGUGCAUAGUAAAUGAACUUUUAGUUACUAUGACUAGCACUUGACUUAUGUAUUCAAUGUGCGUAUUUCGAGGUCUAAGCCGACUUUCAUGAAAAAAAGUUAUUUUUCUCAAAAUAGGUUGAUUACCUUAGUCAUGCUAUGCAUCACAAGCGGAAGUUUUUUGGGGCUACAACUUUGUCUUUAAAAAAUACUUCUGCUGAUCGACCUUUCUUGUGUAGGUUGGAGAUAUGAAUGUCAUAAAGAUGCUUCUGAUGGGGAAUGUUGAUGUCAACGAAGCUGACUCUGAAGGAAACACAGCACUUCACUGGUGCCUUAGUGGUGGCUCAAGUACACAGGAGCCAAGGUGCUCAUCUCAGAAAUUGCUUUGUCCAAACCAGUCAAUUGUAAGAUAGUUGUCUUAUUAGACCUCGGUCGGUUUCUGUCACUUUGCAGGAUUGUGUGGCUCCUGCUCAAGAACGGUGCCAGAGUUUUCCAGGGGAACAAAUUAGGCCUCACGCCAGUACACAGCGCUGCAGCUAAGGGCAAUUACAAGGCUCUUCAGGUAGCCUUCUGUUACUUCCAUAGUACCUAAUUGCGCUGUUGCGAGUUGUGACUAAUUGGUUUUAUUUUUCUUUGCUUUGAAAGUCACUUCUGCUUCAUGCCCAAGAUUGUGUUGAUACACCUACCAAGACCAAAGAAACCCCAUUAUUCUUUGCAGUGAAGAAUGGUUCUGUGGACUGUGUAAAACUCCUUUUGCGUUUUGGAGCUGAUACCAAAGCCAGGAACCUACGGUAAGUAAAUCUUCAGAGUGCAUUUAAAUAAUUGAAUUACAAAGAAUAAGUUACAAAAAGGAAAAUGCACAUAAUUAUUUUUAAUUUAUGGUCUUAUGCACUUAACAUGCUGCAAUUAUUUGACUUGAACAGAAAGCAAAGACCAAUUGACGUGGCAACGUCCCAGGACAUGCGUUUCGUUCUUAGCUCUGCAAAUGUGGCACCAUGUAAGAGACUUACAGAGAUUUACUCGUUUUCUGUUCAGCUUAAUCUUUCUAUAUGUACACAUUUUCUUCUUUUAGUUCAUUUGAUUUCUUCAACCAUAGUAGUAAAUACAAGCUAGAUGGAGUUCAAAAAGAUGUAAGGAAUUUAAUAAAUUGCAUAUGCUACCUCCGUGCAUAAAUAUAUGACAUUUAGGACAAGCUAUCUGGUUCAAAAAUGAACUAUUUUGCUUGUGCUAAACAUAAUAUAUUUGAGAACAGAGGGAAUAUAUAUUAUGUUAGCUGGUAUUACUGCAUGAUUAUGGACAUUUGGAAAUUGCCACUUUAACAGAAAUGCACUCUAGUUUCAGGGAAACAUAACUCACCUCAAAAGAAUCAUGUGAUGAGAAAGGAAAUUUGCAAAGAGCUUCUGGGUGAUGAGUUUGAUGAUUUAUACAAUGAUGACUAUAGCGAAAGGUACAUCUGGUAUACGGUACAUUAUUUACUUGAACUAUAACAUCUUUGCUUCUCACCUGUUGUUGCUUGAACUUUUAUGUAGCUAUACUGGGCUAAAGACAUCAGUAGGCCAGCGUGAUUUGCGGUCCAGUAACCGUUCUACUCAAGGGCCUAAGAGUAAGAGCCAAUAUGUUCCAAAACAAGGACAAGGCUCAAAGUUUGUGCCUCGGGUAAGUAAAGCAUGUUCUCUAUCUGUCAUCUGUCAAAACCUAUUUCUUUGGUCGGUCUGCUUCUUACACUACAUUCUUUUUUAGAACAAUCAUUGGCCUAAGCAUGACUACACUCGCAAAAUUUUUGUUGGGGGCCUCCCGCCUUCAGUGGACUCUGGUAAAUUUUCAUAAAUCCUUCACUGCUUGGUGUUGAGCAAAUUUGAAUCGAUAAACACUUCUAACCUUCUUUGCUGCCCCUUUCUGACAGACUUCCUUAUUGAAUUCUUCAAUGCUGAAUUUGGGCCUGUGGAGGAAGCUGUGGUCAUUGGGAUACCAAUAGGCAAUAGAUUGCAGUCCCGAGGUUUUGGCUUUGUAAAAUUUGAAAGAGAGAAGGAUAUGAUAAGUGCAAAGGAAGCCCAUCAUGUAUACAUGCUUGGGAAGAGAGUGGAGGUAAAGGAUGCUGUUGCUAGAGCAGACUUGCCUUUAGAAGAACAAAGAGCUACUUCUUUGAGGAAAUUCAUCAAGGAGCGCCCAAAGGUAACCCAUAGUGUGCUGGAUGGUGAACUAACCGAGGAGCACAACAUUCGGAAGCGGCGACCAUUGCCAGAGAAGUGCCUUCCAUCUUGGUUCUUUAUAUUCAGGAAGUGGUUGCCAGGAUUUCUUGAGGAUGCGACCGAGCGACUUGGGGGAGAGAGGUAUCCAUUAAGCUCUUUGAAGGGUGAUUUCAGAGCAACUUGCAGGAUGGAGCUUGAUCACACUGCACUUGGUUAUCCUAAGCUAAGUGACUUUAUGCGCUCCCUCCCAGGCAUCUGCAGGAUGUGUGUAGUUCCUGUUGGAAGCGGACCUGCAACACACAUGGUCCUUUUUCCACCGCUCUCAAGACCGAAGUAUGUACCCUUGCUAGAGCCGUACUCCUUUGAUCGUGAUGAGCUUCCAGAAUCAGUGUCUGAUCAUCACUCCCCAAGAUCUCCACUUAACACCAACAUCACGGAUGACUCCCCUCAUAAAACUGACAGCCAGCAGGGUGAUGAUGCAUGCAGUGCGACUAAUGUUCAGAUCCAGCAGAGUGAUGAUGCAUGUAGUAAGAGCAAUGCUCAGAGCCAGCAGGGCGAUGGGAGCAGCAGGAGCAGUGCUGAAAGCCUGCUGGAUGGAAGUUCUUCUGAUAAUGGUAGCUUACUGGAUGAUAUUCCUGUCAGCACCACAAAGCUUGAUUUGGUUGAGCCUGUACCUGCAGGAAAGCCUGAAGUGAUUGAGCGUGUACCUGCAAGAAGGCCUGAUGUAAUUGAAUGUGUACCUACAAGAAAGCCAGAUUUGACUGACUGCAUGCCUACAAGAAUGCCUGAUUUGAUUCAGUAUGGAUCUCUUCCCAGAAACAAUGAGUCCGGACCAGUCCGGAAGCCUAAUUUGCUUGAGUUUGGACCUACAAGAAAGCUUGACUUCAUUCAGUCCAGGCCUUCAACGUGCUUCAUUGAUAGUCCAGUUGAAAGGCCAGCAGUUCCUCCGAGCAGCUGUGAGGCUGAAAUGAGAUUCUCUUUCUUCCAGUCUCAGUGGGACAAGUAUCUGGUAAGAGCUCUCUGCUUGUGAACUUACAAUGUUUAUUAUGUUGGUUAUAAGAUCAGAAUAAUGUUCUUCGAAGUACUAACAUUGUUAUUUGCAUGUUAGACUCCAUAUCCCAAGAGUGACUCCUGCAUCAUCUGCCGAUCUUGCGAAGCCACGAUGCAGCUUGUCCCGUGCCAUCAUAAGAUAUGUGUUGCCUGCAUGAUGAGGUGUAAUGUCAGGGCAUGCAUGGCUUGUGGCACUUCUGUAAGUGGAGUGAAGUCUUCCCCUGUAGUGGAUGCGCCAUACAGAUAUAUGGUAGUGGAAAUUCUCGAAACAAUUAGAAUUGCCUUUGAUUCCCUGUUUCCAGAAAUAGCUCAUAUCAUUUGCAGACUGUUUAUUUGAAAGAAAAAGGAUCUUUGUGCUUAGUGUUUUUUUCUUCACUGCACAUGAGUUGGACUGGUCUGAUCAGUUGCUGAAUAUGCAGGGAGUCAUGGAGAGCGUUCCAGAUCAAAGGUGCCAGUUGAUGGUUGUCUGCCGUGGUGCUGAGGCGAUUGUGAGAUGUUCCCCCUGUAUGCACACCAUUGCUUGCCGAGGAUGCUUCCUGGCGUCAGUGACGUUACUGAAGACCUGCACCACCUGUGGCUGCAUGAUUCAGCACUUCAUGUUUGGUUGAAAAGUCUCACCUCCCUAAUACAGUAGUAUUACUAAGCAAACUAAGGUAUAGAAUAAAGCAAGCAAUCCUACAAUCUGAAGGAGAGAUCUGAUAUGCUCUCGUUCGGUUUUGCCACACUUGUGGGAUGCGCUAACAGGCUAUUUUGGUAGUGGUAUAUGCGCCCUCGCUCUUCUGAGCCUGAGGUGCCCUCUUUUGCCCCCUUCUGUUCUUGCUUAGAUAUGCUAGUCAGACAUGCUUGAUUGGUAUGCUACUUCUGCUUCUGUGAGCUUAUGAUGGCUCUGACAUUGGCAAGCUCACAAUAAUACCAUGUAAAGCCCCAUUAUCUAUUAUGGCACUCCUUUUGUAAACCUAUGAAAUUACUAUCUCAUGGGUUGUGGUGCUUACAAUUUACAAAGCCCCCUUUUGUAUAUGUUCCUGAUGUCUGGUUUGUUUGGCUCUUGCUUCUUUUUCUUAUAGUCAAGUUCAAUCAAUGUUUUGUCGCGGGUAAUCUGUCAUAUGUUGCAUUGUCAGAAUGCGCUCAGCAAGUUCCAGUUACAAGGGAACUUCGAAUCUGUAUUGCUCAAUUUAGUUGCUCUGCGUAGCAUUAUAUUUCCUACCGAUGUAAUCCCUGUCUAUUUCCUACCAUGUGCGAGUGCCCGGUUAAUGGCCCGUGUUGUACAAACAUCGUUUUUACCUUCCUCUUAGAUGCGCAGUUCUCCUGCGUAUUCUAGAAAAAGCAUUAUAUUACAUCACUUUGUUUUCAAAAUCGUAGUUGUGUGUAUUGCUCCCUUUUAGCAAUCAAUUUUCAUGUUAAGCUACUGGUUAUGCUGUUUCAACCACUGUUGCAGCCAUGAAGUUACGUUUGUGUGGCUCUUUGAUUCAGUUCUGUCAGGCUAAUCCCAGUGGGAGUUUCAUAGAGGUUUCAUGCACAUUAAAUACGGUGACACAUCAGCAUAUGUGAUGACAUGGCAUGGUAGUUAUGAAGUGAGAGAGGGAAGGGGUUUCAUCAGGAUGAAACUGUGUAUACACUGUUUCCAAAACUAUGAAACAUAUUGAAACUUGCAUUGGGGCUAUAGAGUUUCAUUUCAUCUAACUAUAUCCAAUCACAUGCCUCACAAUUAAAUGUCAUGGGCAUCCUAUGAAAUCGUGAAAUGAAACUGUGCACUGGGACUCCCUGUUUCAUUCAUGAGAAUACACCUCAUAGGAUGAUGUGACAUCUUUAAAAACAGUGCAAUGAAACCUUGCACUGGGACUAGCCUCGGGCUCCAUUUGACACUACCAGAAUGUGGUCUGUACUCUUUGGUGGACACUGGAAACGAGCUAUCAGUAUGUUUUAUUUAUUUGUACUCUGUGUUGGAAGUUGCAAAGAUAGACCCUGUUUGACUUCAUGUUUUGAAUUAACUGUGAAAUCAGACAAGCUUUGUUUUUGUGGAUAUGCUAAGCAUAAAACGAAGUGGAAUGCUUAGGAAUUUUUUUUUCUCGGUCCUAUUUCUAUGCGGGCACACAAUUGCACGCAAUGAGCUGAAACGAAAAUAGAUGGCAGCAAACAGUAACUUCAUGACGGUGAACAGUAGCCGGUGAUAGUAAUUGAGUACCUCAUCUCCUGUUAGCCAAGGUAUUCAAAUGAAAUCAAGAACGGUGUGCAUGAGCAUUUGAGAGAGCAGCACAUGAUCACCAGCUGUCGAAGUAGCCAUCCCACCGGCGCUGAUCACGGUCCUCCUCCCAGGGAGGAAGUCCCCGCUUGAUCCUGCUAACCCUCUCGAUCAUGCCAUCGACAGCGAUGUCAAAGGCGUCCCUGAACCCGUCGCCGGGGACCCUCGGGUCCCUGUACACGAUGCUGGGGAUCAUCCUGAUCACCUGCUCCCUCAUGGCCGCCACCUCCGCCCGGCUGAACCGCCGGAGCACGUCCUCCACCCGAACCGUGCCGUUGCGCACGCCGUCCCCCGGCACGAACACCGAGUACCUGGCGUGGUCGGCCGGCAGGUGCCACCGGUACUGCGUGUACGCCGAGCCCGGGUGGAAGAACACCGGCACGCAGCCGGCGAGCAUGGCGUCGAACGCCGACCGCCGCGUGUACGAGUCCCCCGGCGGCUGCAGGCAGAACGCCGCGCUCUUGAAGUGGCGCACGACGUUGCCGGGGGCGUAGCAGUCGUGUCGCCGACCGCGGCCACACUGCAGCAGCCCGCACCGCCGCGACCGCGCGCACUGGCCGAUCACGGCGUCGCGCAGGGUGCCGCCGCCGCCCGCGCCGCCGGGCCGCCGCGCACCGGCGAACGCGAACAGCCACGGGCGCCGCGCGCGCCGGAGGGCCCGCUGACAGGAGGCCACCUCGGCGGUGCGCGACGGGUGGAAGCAGGUCGGGUACGGCACGGCGACGUCGCCGGCGUGCCACGGGCCGGACUCGAGCACGAGCGCCGUCAUGUUGGCCGCCUCCGGGAGGAGCAGCAGGCGGCUGCCCCAGUUGCCGCCGUCCUGGCGCCGGAAGUCCCACGCGAUGCGGCCGCCGACGAGGAAGUGGUCCCGCCCGCCGCGCGCCGCCCACGCCGGCGUGGAGCGGAGCCAGCCCGCGAGGUCCUCGGCGAGCGCGUCGCGCGCGCCGUUGCUGGAGCCCCACAGGUGGCGGCCGACGUCGAGCCCCGCGUAGUAGGGCACGUACACGGCGUCGGCGCGGGAGGCGUCGGCGGUCAGGCAGCCGUACUGCCGCAUCCGGCCGUGGAAGAUGACCUCGAGGGUGAACUGGUUGGUGUCGUACCAGCCGGUGGCCGGGAGCACGGCGCCGGUGCGCGUCAGCCGCGGGCCCAUGCCGGCGUUUGCGACGUGCCUGCACAUGUCCGUCCACUCCGACAGGGACCGGCAGUUGCGGAGCAGGUCGGCGUUGAACCGGCUCGGCAGCUCCUGAACAUAGAUGUACCGACCGGCGCACCGGUCGGCCGCGGCCGCCCGAUUCGCCGCUCGUCCCUGACGCCCUUGACGUGCCAGCUGAGGCGGCGGCGGUGACGUGCCAGUUAUUUCUUCAAGCUUUGGCGGCGGCGGAGGCGACGCGUCAACGAUCAGCUCAUGCUCCGGCGGCGGCAGUGGCGGUGGCGGUGGCGAAGUUUCUGCUCUUGCUCGGCGUUCCGGAGGCGGUGGCGGCAACGUGUCAAUGAUCUCUUGACGCUCCGGAAGCCGCGGCGACGCGUGUACGAUACCUUCGCGCUCGGGCACCGGCAUCGUGACGGCGGCGCGUCGCGCCGUCGCGCCGACGAUCUCCCCGACGCUGACGUGGAAACUCUCGCGGCGACCCACGUCGAGCGCGGGCGGCGUCGGAGGCGCGAAGAAGAGGAUCGUCCACACGACGCAGCACGCCGGGACGACCAGCGGCAGGAGCCACCUGGCGGCCCGCAGCACGGCCGAGGCGCGCCCGCUCCCCAUGGCGCGUCACCGAACAAGCAGCCACUCGCCGCCGGGGAAUGGACGACCGCUGACAGGUGACAGCCCCUCGUCGGUGUCGCCGAAUGCGCGGCCGGGUUCAACUUGAAUCCACGGCGCCGCUGGCUGUCGGUCGCCACCAGGGGGGCAUCGCGGGAUCGCCGUCGAUACUGGAUCGGCGACGCGGAUCCGGCCGGCUCGAUCCCUUCCCAUUCUUGAUCGCAUUCCUGCCCAAGGAAGGAUGUUUCUUUCCAUCCACAGACGCCACCAAGGAUGUUUAAUUAGGCGCGAGUGCAUGGGAGCAUGGCCGGCACAGCUAAUGAUGGAUUGGCAGCUCGUGCAUGCAGGAUUUAGCGGUGCUGAAGAUCCCCAUGCUUUUGGUUGUUUCUGAAUCUUUGUCGUCUACAACCACAACUGGCUGCACAGAUGGUGCAGUGCGGAGCGCCGGGGCCACAUGUCAGUGGCACAUAGCUAGCCACACAGCACAGGUGUGGUUACAGGUCAGUCUCACAGAACAUUCAACGCCGGCAUUCUGGAAGUCAAUCGUGCAGGCAUCAACUGCGCCAUCCCGGCGCCGUCGGCGACGGCGUGGUUCCAGGUCACUCUGAGGACGAACCCGCCGGACGAGAAAUCCGCAGACGGCGAGGUUUCCCUGUAGCGUCAUCGAGAUUGAGCGGCGGGGUGGCUGAGGAAUGAGGAUAGCAUUUUUCAAGUUCCUGACAUCAGCUCGCGCAACAAACCAGCAGGUUCAGAGCGAAAACAAGGGCACACUGCCAAGUGCUAACCAGACAUCAUCAGACGGAGCACAACAACAAAGAUAAAGAGGUUCAGAUAACCGGAACAUCGAGCAGAGUUCUAACACGAAGCAUGGGAGUAACAACAUACAGGUUGAGGUUCUAGUCACAACUCAUAAUCUCCCUAGUCUUACAAAGUUCCUUGCUACAGCCUACGCUCUGAUUCUUCACCAGUCAGGAGCCGUGAGCUCACUACAUCAGAAGAACUUCUUCUAUGAAGCAGAAUCAUUAGCCUACUAAUGUCAUGGCAUAUUUGUACAUAACCGAAACGGGCCUGAAGACUUCCUGCGUUGCUACUUGUCCGACUCAGAUCCUUGGGGAGUUAGAAGGUGGUAAGGUAGCUCACGCCCUGCCGCUCGACCUGCACAACAAGAGGCAACUGUGAGAUCGCCGUAGAAAAAACAGUUUGGCAUUUGUCAUGGGCUUGAUUCUUGGUGAGAAAUGUGGCAACUUGAAAAAGGAACAUUAAGCUAGGUAACCCCAGAAUAUCUUAAUUCACAAUGACUAUGAACCAUUAAUGGAUGAUUCUCACUAGUAUAUGCAUGUACCAUCCUGACUUUCAGAGUAUAUCAGUUUCACUUCUAUUUAUUCUCAGUAAGGUUAUAGUGGAAUUUAAACUUUUUGAUUCAUAGUUUGGCCCCACAUGAAAUCAAAUUUAAGUUAGUUAUCAGUUCUUUAUAGCAAUACGUCCAUGUUUCUCAUGCUACUAGCUCACUUGUCCCUUCAGCCACACAAUUUUUUUUCCUGUCAUACUGCUUAUCAGAUACUCCUAUAUGUAGCUCAUAUUUCAUAUAAACCAUGCAGUGCUUAUGCAGCAGGAAUUUGAACAAAUUAGCAGGAAGAAGAAGUUUUUGGGUCUCUGUAUGAUCAAAGACAAGAAAUUGCUUCAGCCAGAAGAAGUGUCAGAUGUAACUGCCAUUUAUAAGCCAAUACUCUGAUGCUACACAAAAAAAAAUAGCAAGAAUGAUGCAAUUUCACAUUAGAGAAUCAGUCUAGGGAAAUGUUGCAUUACCUGCGAAUCUUCCUGCGCUUCGUAACCGAAAGCUGCUUCACCUGAUUGGACAUGUAGCUGACACACUCCGUUGUGGUAGCCCUCCUCCCCUCCUUGUAGUUCCAUAGCUCAUAGGCAAUGCUUCUGUCGCUCAGACGACCAUACCCUUUCAUCUCCACCAGUGCGUUAACCACAGCAUUAUGGGCACCAGAGCCCCAUGCCCUCUUCAGCUCUUGCAACUUUUCGUCAUCAACGUUCACAAUCUCCUAAUAUGAUAAGCAAUACACAGUCUGUAAUCCUUUAUAAUGGAUCAAAAGCAUCCUGUGAGAUACCAUACCAUGAAGCUUUCUAUAAUUGACAUACCUGCUGAUUGCCAUCAACUGUGACAGUCUUGAAAGGAUACCAGCUCAGAUCACCAAGUUGCUGCUGCCAUGAUGAGUAUAACUCAUGAGAUGCUGUGCCAACUUCUUCAGGAGGUAACUUUGCGAGACAAGCAGCCUUGAAUGCCUUCUCAUUCAAUUCCCCCAUUUCCUUUAUCCCAAUUUUCCUUCCGCCGAUAUCAAUUUCAAGGAAUCCCUGGAACACCAACUUGCAUGUAACAUUGACUCCCACAACAUACACCUCAAACUAAUGAAAUUAUGCUACAAGAACGUAUGCAGUGUCCUGGAUCAAAGAACAAUGAGUAAAUAUUGAGGGAUAUGAUCCAACCUUGAUCAGCUCAUCUCUGACUGCCUCUAGGUCUUCUUCGCUCACCAAAACACAUGAUGUUUGGCCAACAGGUGGCUUGUCUACUAACUCUUUCCUAGGGCACUCUUUGGUUAAUGCAAUAUUGACAGCAUCAUUUCCCUGAAGUCUUUCAGACAGUCUUUUCUGUUUCUCCAUUGGUCCUUUCAGCACCUGCGUUAUGGUUAACACUUAUCAGCGCAAAAAGAUAGCUCAAAAUGCACGGACAAGGAAUGAACAGAAAUGAAAUCGACCGGGGUAAUACUAUUAUCUUAGAAGUUGGUUAGUCACAGACUGAAAUAUAAAACUUGGAGAAAAUCCAGGCCCCUUGCAAAGGUUCCAUACAUUACUAUUUUCCAACAAUUCCAAAGGAGACAGAGAUCGACUAUCCAAUUGGCUAGUAUGCUCAUUUUUGUCAGCGCCAUAUUCCAAAGUUCCUUCAGAUGGCCUCUUCCUCUUUUGCAUUGAUCUUGUUUGCACCUAUUUUCACGAUCAAGAUUAAUGAGCUUGAUAUAAUCCAAUACGGGAAAAGUUAAACCUAAAUAAAGUUAUGAGCGCUGCAGGAGCUUGGCCAUUUUGUAAAAGGUAGGUACAUGAAGAUGGAUAGGUAUCUUAGGAUUGUGUAACCUAACUGAAAAUAUAAAAAGGAGAAAACACAUGUUAAUUUCUCUGCAAAGGUUCUGUGUGAAGGCACUCCAUGUAUUCCAAGCAAGGAGAAGAUUAAUUACUUAUGAAAGUUAAUAUACAAAAAUUUAGAGACAUUCGAUCUGUAAGUUUAACCACAACAACAGAGCAUUAUAAAAGUCUUGAAGCAAGUUGGGGUUGGCUCCUAGACAUGAAACCCAACAAGGCAUAGCAUAAUAUGAAAAAAAAAGAACAACAUAAGUUCAAAAUGUAAAGAGCUAUAACAUGUUAGGCUGCACUGAAGAAUGCGACUGGCCAAUGGCAUUAAGAAAUAACUUAUUAUUGGGGGCAAAGGCUAUAGGUUAUCUUAUUACCCCUUUGGGUUGGAUAGGAUCCAUAACACUUCCACACUGUUGCUCAGCUUGAUUAUUCUUGGCUUCACUCUUUUCGAGCUUUUUUUUUAGAAACUCAAUGUAAUUGUUCUUUAGAGAAAUCUCCUCUGUUGAUGACACAAGUGCAUCCCUUGCUGCCGUCAAUGUGUUCUGUGAUGCCAAAAGGUCCUCCUUCAUUGCUGCCAUAGCCUCUCCAUUUGCUGAAAGAAAAAUUUCAAAUGAGAAAUGGUAUUUCAACUAACUAGAAAUGGUUAAAGAAUGCAAUAAGUGCAUGGCUUUGGUGAAUAUUAUUACAGAAUGUCAUCAUGCCAUUGAACACAAUAUCACACACUGUGGCCCAAAGGAACUACUUCUAGAAACAGAAUUUGGCAUGCAUAUGGAGCUGACCAUGCUGCUCACGCCGGAGCAUCUCCUCCUCAUUCUGGAGCCUCUCCUUCUCUUGUUGGAGCCUCUCCUUUUCUUUAACAACCCCAUCAAUUACAUGUUUUAUCUCGCUGUACUCAGCCAUGGCAUCUUUGAGCAAAGAUAGCUUGAAAUCAACCUUUGAAGCCAUUGCACCUAGGAGCCCGUUCGUUCCUGUGUCCUCUGCCAUUCUAUCUGCAUGAUCAGUAGCCAACAGAAUGUCAUCACAUAAUCACCUGCAUUCUGUUCACCUUACGACAGUUUAUACAUUGUAAAACUGAUCUUGUAGGUCAAUGAAUCUCAGGUGAUGUCAUAGUUUUAGAUGGCACUAAAUGAACCAAGAGUAUGUUAUAGUAACUGAAUGACAAAUAAGCAUGAGGCACGCCUUCAGUUUAGACAAUUCAGAAUUUCAUCAGGGCUAGAUUUAGGUCCACAAUCUAGUUAGCUUAGGAAGUUCAUAAGUUCAUUACAGAUUAUACUUCGACCACAUUAGAUUUCAAGAAAUUGAAGAAACAUGCAGUGUGGUAAACACAUAUGGACUAUAUGAUGGAUGUUUCUCUAUCAUAUCCCUUUGUUGAAAUAGAGGGAGAAACCAAGCUCACAUGAUAUUCAGCGAAGGUAACUGUGACAUGAACAUUGGCCUGAACAAUUGUAUCAUGGAAUGUAUUUCUGAGAUUACUUUCUAUCGUGUGUUUACCUAGUGAUUCCAAAGGCAAUCAGCAACAAGAAUUUAGCACAAACUAAGGCUGUUCAACGAAAAAAGGAGAUCGAUCUGUGCAUGGCGCUGUAACCAAAACCUCACCUUGGCAAAAGGACAACAAGAACUAGCACCAAUUCGUUGCCUACACCCCCAGCAAAUUAUCAGUAGCCGUCAAAUUAACAUGCAGAGGAAGUAUUCGGGUAGAUAACUAGGGGUGUAGUUGAAAUCUGCAAGAGAAGUCAAGAUCAUGAAGCCUGAAGGGCUUGGAAAAGAGUGGCAAAUUUGAAAUUUCAUCCACUGAACCAAAAGCGAACCCACGAAACGGCAUUCAGAAUGCCUUCGGCUCCAACUCACGAAAUAAAAAAAGGGUUUUCUGCAAUGCGAAGUGACAAGAUCGGAUCGAAUCAUGAAAUAGGAAAUUUAUAAGCGAAUGUUUGUUUAUAGCCUUCAAACUAAGAGAGCCAAAACGACAUGAUUUUUUUUUCACCAAAGACGAAUUGCAGAAAACUAAAUCAACUGAGAAUUAAGGUGAGAGGCACACACAAGAACGCACGCUUCCCCUAGAAAAGUAUCGCCUUUUAACAGACGGAAGCAAAAAGAUCCAAGAACCGCGGCAUUGGGUAAAUCUACGCGCUCAAGAAAUGGCUACAACCUAGUGAGAGAACUCUUCCUUCAGAGAGCACAAAAGGAUCCAAGCCUGAGAUGGCAUGAUCAUCCCCAGCCCCAACCAAGAACAGCCACAAACUCGCACGGAAUAAACUGCGCAACAGAUGGAGAAGGUGAGCAGUGAGAUGAGGCGAAAGCAAGAAGAAACACCCACCUAUUUUUUUGAAUCAAUGGAACGUCUCGCCCGCCUUGCAAACCAACCAAGAUGAGCAGUCCAAAUGAAUGUUGUACUGCAAGCUUUGAUUUCGUUGGUUGGCAAGAGAAAGGAGAAAAGCUGAAAGCAGCCGCCAGAGUGGUCUGAACUCUGAACUGGUUCAUGUGGUCGGUGCUCUGCCUCUGCUGCCCUGUGUACCUCGCAGCCAAAAACGGCGAAGCCUAGUCACAGGUCACUACCCUGCUCUGCCUCUGCCUAGUCACAGGUCACACCAAUGCAGGCCCACGUGCCAUAGAGACUAGGGGUGUAGGAUUGGGUGUGAGUAGCUAGAGGUGAAUCCCAAUUGCUGUCUUGCUUUUUUUUUUGGGGGGUUGGUUCACGAAAUCGUCGCCCUGUUCGCUUCAGCUUAUUCAGCCGGCUUAUCAGCCACCGAACAGUCACCCUGUUCGCUUCAGCUUAUUCAGCCGGCUUAUCAGCCACCAAACAGUAUUUUCCUCUCACAACAAAUCAGUCGUUUCAGCCAGCUUAUAAGCUGAAGCGAACAGGGCCAGUGUUUUCCUCUCACAACAAAUCAGCCGUUUCAGCUUUUCAGCCGGCUUAUAAGCUGAAGCGAAUAGUCCCCGUGAUGUUAAGAAACCUCCUUUCACGCAAAAAGGAAGCUCCAAACUUACUCAGAACAAGGGCUUCACAAAAAAGCUUGAUCCAGUGCCGAUUGAAGUUUCUUUAACGUGGUAUUUAAUUUCCUAUGCCACUAAUUCAUAUCAUGUAGCUGUAAGAUGUUCAUGGCAGAUUUUCUUCCAUGUAGAGGUGAGAAUGGUAAUUUUGCAAUGUAAUACAUGUCGGGCUACACAGAUAGAAACUAUUUAUACUAAACUCUUAGCUAAUAAUCAAAAUUGUUUACCUACUAGUCUCUUAUUUUUCCAAUACUUCAACAUAAUAAUUAUAUAGAUAUGUACCUAUCUUUGUCCAGUUGUGAUUGCUUUUUAAUCAAUAAUUACUCUAUGUACUUUUUCAUCCAUAUUCAUACUUUUUCCAUUUUGUAUCACACCUCCAAUCCUUCAUACAUUAUGUUUAGCAUACAAAUCAAUAUUUUUCAUCGAUUCCUCACAUACAUGUAUAAAUGGUCUAAAUGGUGGCACUCAUCAUGUGUAUAUCCUUUAACUUAGUGUUUUUAUAUUAACAAUGACAUAAAUAGGUAAUUUAGAAUCAUAUAUUAAUUUACUUUUUAACAUUUUUGUACGAUGCACACGAAGAUAAUUAGAUUAAGAUUUAGGUGUUUACUUUAGGUUAUUUUUAAUAUCGACAUACGAUGGUAACAUAGAUAAAAUUUUAGAAUGAUAUUUUAAGUUGUGCUUUAUAAUGAUGUGUAUUAGUAAAUUGGAUGAAGAUUAUGAGGUUACUUUAUAUUAUUUUUUAUAAUAGCUGAGCUCGGUAAUUGAGAUAUAGGUUUAGAGCUUACUUUUUAAUAUUUUCACAGUGACAGUAGCAGGUAACCUUUUAGAAAAUAUAAUAGAUCAAUGGAUAUGAUUAUUAGAGUUUACAUUAUUGGUGUUUGAUGUUUUUAAUUUUUAUGAGAAUUUCUCUCUUUUUUCUAGCUUAUCUCAUGGGAACUAAUGUGGAGUUUCCAAUGGAAAAAAAUGUAGGGUUACCUCAUGUUAUUUUUAAUAAUAGCAUGUGUGUGGUAUAUAGAUGCAAAUUUAAGGGGUUACUUAAAAAUUUUAAGUAAUAGUGGUAGUCAAUUCAGUUGCAAAUUAGGGGGUUAUUUUAGAUAUUAUUUAUAAUGGCAUAAGUGGGUAAUUUUGAUGAAGAUUAGGGGUUACUUUAAUUAAUUUUAUAUAAUGGCAAAGGUGGAUAAUUUAUAUAUAGAUUUAGGGGGUUAUUUUAGACUAUUUUCAUAAUGGUAUGGGUGGGUAAUUUUUUAAAAAAACAUAAUAGAUCCAAUGGCUAUAAUGAUUUGAAUCUAUCAACCGAUGGUCGGAUGUUUUGCUUUUUUGUGAGAAUUUCUAUGAUUUCUCUCCUUUUCUAGAGUGUCCAUCUAGAAAUCCUAGGUGGCUUCACCUGGAGGCUUCAAAAGGAGCCUCCAAUUAGUAAUAGGAAGAUACCACAGCAUAUGCCACUUCCUCCAUUUCAUUUUAUAAGGCAUGCGUGAAUUGUAAGAGUCAAACCUUGUCAUUUUUAACAAACAAUUAGCCAAACAUGAUAUAAAAUCCUAUUACGAAAAAAUGAUAUCACUAGAUUCAAUUCACAUUUGAAAAAUACUCUCUUAUUGUUAUGAUUUUUUUGAGUUAAACCAUGCCCUCUAUCUUUAAAUGAAGGUCUUAGCUUUCUUACUCGUGUAGAUCUUAGACUACAAAAUCACCGAGUACAAAGGGGGCAAGUUCAAUUUCACACUGUCAAGAGCCACUGAACAGCACUUAGGGUGUGCUUGGUUGGCAGCCUUGGUUUGCCAUGCCGCAGUGUGGUGCAGGAAAUCGACGCCACACUCCGUGGCGUGAAAUGCUCUAGACUUCACCUGUUUUGCAUGUGGCUGCCGGUACAGAGCAGACCAACCAAGCACCUGCCCAAUUUUUUAUGGCUACCGCACUUGUGGCUUGGCAGCCGAGACCCAAGCACGCCCUUACUAUACGAGAUCCCUCCAUUGUGGGCAGGGCAAAGUACGUUGUUACACACAGCACCACUCAGUCUAAAUUCUAAAAUAUUCCAUGGAAUGCACUACGUACUAGUUGGCCUUUCACUUGGGAAAAUUUUUUUGGCAACACUGUAAAUUUGUUGUCAAACAAAAGUAGGCCUUGUCGUGCACAAUAGAGAUGUGCAUCAUCUAUUGCGCUAGGUGUUAUGAAUGGGUUUACUGGGCCUCCCGGCCUCAGUCAGGCUGUCAAAAACACAAAACUGGAAGCCCGGACCAUUCAGCCCAUGGAUCUUAAACGUGUAUACUAUGGAUGUGUUGAGGUCUUGAGGACCAAAUCUCUCAAUUGUGAGCUUUUCUACUAGACUCACCAGCAGCACACAUUGGAACAAAGGAAAACUAAGGAAUUUUGAAGGAUUUCAAUCCUAUAGGGAAAUUUCCUAUGUGCCUAUGCUGCAUCCAAAGGUUAUGUUACACAUUCUGAAUUUCAAUAGGAUUGCAAGUUUCAUGCAACUUCAAUAGAAUCCUAUUGUUCCAAAGAGAGCCUAAUAUCCUUGAUCCUUGCCUGAUCAGGCAAACUCAAUGCAGUCACUUUGAUUUGAAACUUCGUCUGAAUUUCUCGCUUAUUCAGUGCUAAGUAAGAAGCUUGGCUGCCUUGGCAUGAUCCAUGACUGACAACAUGUAAUGUAAGCUUGGUGUUGGUGAGAAGAAACAAAGACAGUACAAGCAGCAGCAGCAGCAGCAGCAAUACAUGCAUUUCUGGAUUCUGAUCAACUAGAGAGAAAGAGUGAACCUUAACAACAGUUGUGAAAAGAGAAACAACAGGAAGAGAUUCAUGGCGUCGUCGUCUGAUUGCUGUUGGUUUUACAUGUCGCGUCCAAGAAGGCAAGAAAGUGUGUCAAGCAGGUCGAGCGGCGGUGAUGGCGUCGGCGGCGGCGGUCAGUUCAUGUCGGUGGCGGCGGACCAUGGGCGGGAGCAGCCGAGCUGCUCGAGGAACUUGGCGACGCGGGCGUGCUUGGCGGCCCACUGCUCGGCCAUCUUCUCCUCCUUGAGCUGCGCGUCGCGGCGGAGCUCGGCGACCUUCUCCCGGUGCUCCCGCUCGACGCGCUCGGCGGCGGCGGCCUGCUCGAGCCGCAUGGUGCGCAUCUUGGCCUCGAACUCCUCCCACACCUCGCGCCGCCGCAUCUCGCGCUCCAUCUCCAGCUGCUGCUCGACGCGCUUGAGCCGCCACGCCGCCUCGCGCCGGUGCGCCGCCCACGCGCGCUGCCCCUCCUCCAGCUCCCGGCAGCACUCGGCGAGCUCCGCCAGCGCCUGCCCCUCCACCACCGCCAUGCCUGGGGCCGGCGGCGGGCCGGGGGGAGCGUGCUGCGGGCUCGGGAACCCGUACGCCGCCGCGGCCGCCUCCGCCGCGGCGCGCUCCACCGGCAUCCACUGCGCCGGGGCGGGCGGCGGCGGCGCCACCGCGGCUGACGCGAGGCUGAGCGUCACGGACGGUGACGGCGGCCUGGGGGGCGGCGCGACUACCGCGGCGGCGUUGGGCGACGACAGCCAUGGCGGCAGCACGGGCGCCCCGGCCAUGAUCAGCGGUGGCGGCGGCUGGGGCGGCGGCGGCCUCUCGCCGACGAGCUUCUCCGCGAAGUUCUCGAGCAGCCACUCGUACCUCCCGCGCUCGUCGGGGCUGGGCUCCGGCGGCGGCCUCCUGCUGUCCCUGAGCUCCCGCUGCUGCUUCUCCUUGAAGACCUCCCACCACUUGCCGAGUCGCUUGGCGGUUCGCCCCGGCACCUCUGCGGCGAUCUUCUUCCACUUGUUGCCGUGCUUGGCCUGGAGGCGAAUGACGAGGCGCUGCUCGUCGUCGGUGAGGGAGCCCUUCUUGAUCCCCGGGCGGAGGUAGUUCUUCCAGCGCUCGAGGCAGGACUUGGCGUCGCGGUCGAGGGCCACGCUCAUGCGCUGCGACACCAGGUGCCACUCCCGCGGGCCGUACUGCCGCACGUACGCCCGCAGCACCGCGUCUUCCUCAGGCCGCCACCUCUGUCGCUCCUUCAUCUGCGCAGGCCAUCGCCCAUCCCGCACCUCCACACACUCUCAUAAUGCCACCUGCUUCCAUUGCAGCCAUGGAUUCCAUACCAUGCCAUGCAGAGAGAAAAAAAGACCAGAUCUUUCUUUAGAUCAUCGCAACAUCAAUCAGUUUGAACAUUGAAAAAGAAAGAUCAAGCAAAAAGAGGCACUGGCAACUAACUAACUAUGCUAAUCUGACAUGGAUCACACAGAUGUUUCAGUCAGUGUCUUGCUACAUGCAGUGAUGCAGAACAGUGAUGGCCAUAGCAGAGAUGGGGAAGAAAGAAGAGCAACCAGGUAGAUGCCUGUUUUCAGUGGUGGUUAGCUGCUCUAAUUCAUUGCAAUGCAGCAUUCAUAACUGCCGGUUUCAGGUUGGGGGUGGCAAGAGCACUAAAGCAGGGAGAGGAGUAAUAGCUACUGUGACCUGCAAAGCUCGCUAGUCGCCACUCCUGCAGCUGCCUACAGAGACAGCAGCCAAUGCAUACUCCAGAAACAUUACUGCGGCUCUAACAAUUCUCCCACACGGUAGACAGGAUCAUCUGCAACUUCUCCAGGCAACAUUUACACUGCUAGUAGCAUGACCAAGAACAGAUUCUCCCUUUUCCACAUUUCUUUCUUGACCAAGACUAGAACUUGCAGCCUUGCAGGCAACCUAUGACAAAUGGUAGAAACUGUUCAAGAUUAACCCGUUGUAACUUUUACUAUACCAAGGUCCAAGGUAGUAAAACCUACGGGCCAUCAACCUUGACCAAGUAAUAAGGUUAACCAAACUUCAGAGCUACAGCUACCGAAGUGAAGCUCAAGCAAUCAGGCAUCCAAGGCUACGACGCCGCUACCAAUCAGCGCGCACACAUGGAGACAAAGGUGUGGGCACGGCCACGGCCGCUACGAGCAAGCACGCGCUGUUUUCUCGCGCGCUUGUCUGGUUUCUGGAGCGGGGUCGCCAUCCGCCAUUAACGUGGCGCCUCAUCGAGGACGGAGAGCUCAAAUCCGCCCGGAUUAAAUGCCAAACCUAAUACUCGUGCCUCAGGGAAAGCAAAAAGCCAACGCGGGGGGAUAUCGAGCAAAUCUCAGACAAUAAUGCCACCUUGAUGACGCCAGGACCAGCGCUAAUCCGAGCUUUGGCGCCUUUACUAAAUGCUAAUGGCAGGUUAGAGGCGGCCACUCCCAUGGAUGGCGAAGCUUUGGAGCUUGUGGAUUGGUGAAGUGAAAUUUGCAAAGGAUGGAUUAAAAUUACUGGAGUGCAUUUUUCACCUAACCGUUAAACUGUCUGUAGAAACAGGAUCCAAGACAAAACAGUUUUUUUCAAGAGAGUUGGUUUAGAGAAAACUUAUGGGGCCUAACCGUUAAGACUGAAUCUUGAACAAGAUACUGCUAGCAAACAGAGCUAAGCCUAUGCUAUAGGUGUUCAAGAUUGGUUGGUCCUACGAAAUUUAUCGUCCCGUCAAGCAUAAUGAUGGGGAAACAAAAAAAAUAGAUGUUGAAAGCAAUGUAUCAAAGCCGAAUCGAUGUGGUAUUUCUAGCGGCUAUGGCACUGACAAAUUGAAGGCAGUGGGGUUAUGCUACAGUUAGGAUGGGACUUGGAUCUGUGGUGCUUUGUACAGGUUGUGCAAUCUUUAGAUUCAGGUAAUCCAUACAGCAGCAAGUUCGUUUUCUCUUCAGAUUCCUCAUCAUUCUGCAUCCUUCUUUGGUCAUAAUUCUCGCAUAUGCAAGUGAAUAUUCCAAAGGGCACUAGAGAUGAAGAGGAAGCAGUUGAAACAAUCAUGAAGCAAUCGAACCAGAAAUGAUGAGGGAAACAUGGCAUUUCUGAAAGGGGUAAAACUCUCAAGUACAUAGUAACAUGAUGGCAUAGUUUACUUCUGAAUUUCUAGGCUUUACUAAGAAAAACGGUGAUGCCGUGCACACACUGACAAAAAAAAAAGAAUCAAAAUAACAACAAGGAUCCUAACGUAGAAAGCAUCAGUACUCAAUACUGCAUAUGCAGUAAUACUUGCCAAAAAAAGGAUUACCAGGACACCCAACAACCAGUAAAUUGAUGCAGAAAGUAGUAGACAAUAGCUGAGAACCUGCUACGAAUUAAGACGACGAAAUUUCCUACUCGCACAGUGGCACCACAAAGAAGAAAUACAGGCACAAUACUGUAACGGCAUAGGACUAACAGUCUGCCAUCAUUUUCCACACAACACAACCUAGUAUAAAACACGACCCAGGAACCAGGGAGCAAUCCUUAUCACAAGAUCAGCAUCUACCACAGUAUGUAGCACCAGGUGUAUGUGCAAGCCAAGAAACGAAUAGAUCAGGCUACUCCACAUCACAAGCAGGAGUUUUGAGAGCAAACCAUCCCCUUUUCCCUCUUAAACAACCCAAACAUCAACAAACUGAACUAAACGAGCAAGCACAAGAAAGCAGAAAACUAUCUACUAUCUUUUUCCAGAGCACAGCAACUGGCACCACUGCCACUGGAUGGUGGUAAUGAACUGAAACUAGUGAGCUGAGACGGUUGAGGAGAGCAGGGAUGCUUACAGAGGCACGGCUACACCAUCCUUUCCUUGCUCAGCAGUUCCUGCCCUCCCUCCUCUCCUUGGUUGAGUUGAGGCUGGAGGUGGAAGAAGGAAGAGGAGUCCCCCAAAUAAUUGCAGAGGUGAAGAUGACCAAGGGCCUGGCCUCUAGCAGGAGACGAGAGGAGGCAAGGGAUAGGGAGGUGCGAGCUGAAAGAUUCCUUUCCGCGGCCGGCCGGCUCGCUCGGUCACGGCGUGUGUGUGUAUGUAUAGAAGGGGAGGGAGAGGGAGGUGAGGUGGGGGACAAGGCGCAGCGAGAAAUUAGGGCACGCGGAAAGGAAAAGACGGGGCGAAAGGGGGUGGCCGAAAAGGGGGCGCGCGUGUAUAUAUAGACAGGGCGCGGCGCGGUAGAGAGAGCCAGCAAGCGAGCGAGAGAGAGAGAGAGAGAGAGAGAGAGAGAGAGAGCUGCUAGCGAGCUAGGCUGGACUGGAGCACUGCAGGUGCAGCGGCAACAGGCCAACAGUUGCAGGCAGGGGCAGGGCAAGAACCACACCCACACGGCUACACAUGCAGCGCUGCCGCAGCAUGCACAUGGAGGAGCUGGAGGAGGAAGAGGAGGAGCGUGCAGGGCAGCCAGUACGUGGUUGUGGGGGUGGGCCGGGGGCGCUUUCUCUGCGCCGAGCUGACUUCACAGUACUGGUACUGGCUGGGGGAGGGAGGGAGAGAGAGAGAGAGAGAGAGAGGCACAAACAAGGGAUGGGUGGAGCUCAGCUCGCAUUGGGACCAGGGGGGUGGGUGUGGCGGGCACCUCAGCUCAAAUCAAACUGUUUCAUGGAAUGCAGGGAUUCCUUUCGAAACCCAUGUAAAAUUCAUGCAAUCCAAACGAAGUUUUUUUGCAUAAGAGUGCGCACGGAUCCGAGAUUCCUUGGACGGGCGGCAGAACCUGCGCUCGUGGAUUCAUUCACAUAUUUUCAUUCAUCGCAAAUGGCCAAAUGGGGUUCGAUGAGGGCAGAGAACGUUCGAAUCGGAGGCGGAGGGAAACCGAAGAGAGGAGGAGGCGAUGGGACGUGCAACCAAUGGCAGCAGAGCAGGCUGGGUCCGGCGGUGGGAAAAGGCGCCGUACGUCGUCGGCGUCGCGUCUUGUCGCGGCGGCAGCGCGUGGAAAGCGAUGAAAAGAUGGGGAGGGAAAAGCAGCAGGGAAAAGAGGUGAUUCCACGAGUCAAAUCGGAACAACAUGGCGGAGGUUACGGGUUGAACGUUUUAGGUUGUAGCCGCUGCUGCCUCACCCUCGUUGCCUCCUUCGUUGGGGUGGUUAAGGGGUGUUUAGUUUCUUGAGUUAAAUUUUAGUUUCUGUCACAUUAAAUAUUUGGAAGCUACUUAGGAGGACUAAAUAUGAGUUAAUUAUAAAAAUUAAUUGCACAGAUGGAGGUUAAACGGCGAGAUGAAUCUAUUAAGCCUAAUUAAUCCAUCAUUAGCAAAUAGUUAAUGUAGCAGCACAUUGUCAAAUUAUGGACUAAUCAGGCUUAAUAGAUUCAUCUCGCCAUUUAGCCUCUAUCUGUGCAAUGAGUUUUGUAAAUAGUCUAUAUUUAAUACUCAUAAUUAGUAUCUAAACAUUCGAUGUGACGGGAUUAAACUUUAAGGGGUGGGAACCAAACACCCCCUAAACCUAUUUCCAUUCGAUGCACCCCGACAACAAUACUCAUGGAACCACUCGUGAGCAUCUCAACGUACUACUCAUUUUACUCAUUUUUAACUCUCCAUUUGACUCUCUAUCUAAAUUGGUAAAAAGAUUUAUCUCCAUAUUGAGUGUCUGUUUGGUAGAGCUUCAUCUGAUUCUGAUUCUCUGUGAGAGUUGAUUCUAUGGGAGAAGUGAUUCUGUGGUUGAGAGUGAUUCUCUUUUAUUCUCUAGCAUAAACUCUUAAAAUUAGGAUGGAGAAUCCCUUCACAGAAUCAGGAGAAGCUACUUUUUUCCAGCUCCAACCUCUUAGUUCAUUCACAGAAUCACUUCACACAAUCAGCAGAGAAUCACUUCUCUCAGAAAAACUAUUUGGCAGAGCUACUGCUGGAAUCAGCAUAGAAUCAGCUCUGGAAACUCUACCAAACGCACCCUGAGUUGCUCAUUCCCAACAGACUAUACAUUUCCCACUCUCCGAAUCCCAACAACUAGUUUCCUCUCUAAAAAUACGCACUCUACAUCCACUCCAACAGCCUCUCCCUUUCGCACUACAACAACCUCUCCAUUUUGCACUCUCCAUUCUUUCACUUACUGCGUGUGAAACCCACACUUUGACAAGGCAAAUUGCCUUGCCAAAUUUGGCAAGUGUGAAGUGAAGUUCGGCAAAUCGGAUAGGAUGAAGAGCCAGAUAGCAACUCUGUUGGACCACAAUUUUCUUACUAAUUUGCUAAAUUUUAGCUUGGAGAGUCAGAUAGAAACUCUGUUGGAGUUUCUGUGUACUAGGUAGUACUAAUUACUUGACAUUUGGAAAGUAGGAAAUUGAUAGUUGGAGGGACUGUGCCCCUCACAGAGUCACAAGUCGUGCCGUUCUGAAGGAUCUUGUGUAGUACUGUACUAAAUAUAUAUAUAAAAAUAUAUAUAACUACUAUUUUCAAAAAGUCACUUACUGAACCAUGUGCACGUCUACACUAGAAUAAUGUCUUGGAAUAAAAAUGUCAAACAGAACUAGCACUAUUACAGUGGGCCGCUUGGGUGCUUCACUUUUUUAAACACAAAAUGUGCCCACGUAUAUUAGUGAACACCAGGCUGUAGCACUGGGACUGAUGAGCACCUGCUAUUGUUGCAUUCAAUUUAGGACAUUUUUUGAAUCUCACAAACUCAGUUAAACCGGGACGGAGGGAGUAAAGUUAGUUCGCAGAAUUCCAAGAUCAUCUACAGCUGGUUGUUUAUCAGUUGUUUAUCGGUAAGCACAAUCCUAGGAUGAACUAAUAACCAGAAGCGGAUUUCUUCAAUUUUUCGUAACAAGUCAAAAUCCAACAGCGGAAGUUGUACCAACCUUUGUUUCCAAAUACUUUACAACUUUGACCACUUUAUUUGUUUCCAAAUACUUGGCACUUCACAUUUCCCGAAACAUAGUUUCCUAUUUUGACCCUCACUCAAUGCUAUAAGAAUGUUCUAGAAAUAUUGGGAGAUAACUCUAUAAGCGUAUUUUGGUCAUUUCUUACACAAAAAGUGGAUCACCUUGGUAAUCGUGCAUUGGUAAGAGUUGCCAAGUAUUUAGAAAUGGAGGUUAGUACAAACUAGUCCGUCAACCCGUGCUCCCGCACGGGUUAAUGCUUUUAAAGGCUAUUGUAUUUGAAAAUUAUUUAGAAAUUAAACUUCUAAUUAAUAGUUAAAAAUUUUUACUUCUUAUUCUCUCUUUUUCAAUCCUUCAACAUAAUACUCAUAAAGAUAUCUACUUAUGUAUUUCUAGUUUUGAUUGAUUUUUAAUUAAUAAUUACUCUACACACCAUUUCAUCCACAUCCACACUUUUUUUCAUUUUGUACCGCACCUCCAUAUAUUAUGUUUAGCAUAAAAAUUAAUAUUUUUCAUCACUUCCUCACAUACAUGUAUAAAUGGUCUAUAUGGUGUCACUCAUCAUGUGUGUAUACCUUAACUUAGUAUUUCUAUAUUGGACAUAAUAGGUAAUUUAGAAUCAUCUAUUAGUUUACUUUUGGACAUUUAUGUAUGAUGCACAUGAAGAUAAUUAGAUUAUGAUUUAGGUGCUUACUUUAGAUUUUUUUUAAUAACAACAUAUGUGGGUAACUUAGAUAUAAAUUUAGAAUGACAUUUUAAGUUAUGUUUUAUAAUGAUAUGCAUAAGUAAAUUGGAUGGGAAGACCUCAACAAUUUAGAUAAAGGUUUAGUGUUUGUUUUAGAAUAUUUUUAUAAUGAAAGUGGUGGGUAACUUUUUUUAAAAUAUAAUAGACCAAUGACUAUGAUUGUUAGAGUUUACUGGAUUGUUGUUUCUAAUUUUUGUAAGAAUUUUUUAGGAUUUGUCCUUUUUUCUAGCAUGUCUUGUAGAACUUAGUCUCCAAUGGAAAAAAAAUGAGACCACAUUGCUACAGACUAUUACUUUGAGCUACCUCUCAUUUGUUAAAUAUUCGAACACAAUACUUAUAUAGAUAUAUACUUAUUAUCUUUAUCCAAUUGUGAUAGAUUUUAGUUAGUAAUUACUCUAUAAUAUUUUCAUCCACAUUUAUAAUCUUUAACUUUUCACAUUGCAUCGCAGUUAUGCACUUCAAUUUUUUUAAUAAUGGAUCCUAAGUUUGAGCUAUAAUUUUAACAUAGAAAUCAAUAUUCUCAUUACUUGCUCUAUAUCUUUAUAAAUUGUGACACACAUCAUGCAUAUGUAGCUUAAUAAUUAUAUCAUAUACUAAUAUAUGAUUUAGAACAAUAUAUUGGUCUAUAUUUUUAAUUAAGGUGAUUUGGAUUAAAAUUUAGUUUAUCUCAUGUUAUUUUUAAUAAUAGCAUGUGUGGGUAAUAUAGAUGCACAUUUAUGGGUUACUUUAAGGUAUUUUUAUUUAAGUAUUAGUGGUGGACAAGUUAGUUACAAAUUAAGAAAUAUUUUAAAUUAUUUUUAUAAUGACCUAAGGGUAAUUGUGAUGACGGACCUUGCUAAAGUACACCUCUUACCUCCUGAGAGGUAAGACGUGAAUUAAAUCUGGACCCUUGAUUAUUAAGAAAAAUCCAAUUAAAAAAUAGAAAAAAAACUACUAACCCACUUCUUUCCAACUACCGGUGACAUGUAUGCAUGCAUCCAUCCAGUCUUUAUCUCUUUAAAGUCCCGUCAGCAUGUGUUCAUAGCAUCAUAAACAUUUUAAUUUUUUUCCACAAUUUUUUCUCUACUAUUGUGCAACGGCAUGUAGGUCCCAUGUCUGCCAUGUCUCAUAGUAUGAUUUUUAUUCGUGACAUCUGCACAUGUAUGCUAUUUCUGAUAUUGCUAAAAAUUUAAUCUCAUGUCCAAGCAAUUUCUUGUUACAAUGUUACGCAUGAUAUAAUUGUCACUUCACCUAAAAAUUUGACCUGCCAUGUCUCACUUGAAAUAUGUUGCAUAUAACGCAAUUAUUACUUAUCUAAAGAAAUAAUCUAUUAGAUGUCAAGAAAUAUAUUUGCGUAUGUACAUUGCAACUCACAUGCAACCAUUAGUAUAUUUUUUUAAAAAAAAUAGAUCAAGUACAUACAUGCAUCUGUCACAUAAUGGAAUUAGAUUUGCAUACAUAUUUUUUGAAGUUUUUGUACACAUCACGUUAGGAUAGUUAGAUUAGGGGUUACUCACAUGCAACCAUUAGUAUAUUUUUUUAGAAAAUGAGAUCACGUAUGCACAUGCAUCUGUCAUGUAACAAAUUAGAUUUACAUAAUUAUUUUGAAUUUUUUGUACAUAUCACAUUAAGGUAAGUUAGAUUAGAGGUUACCUUAGUUUAUUUUAUAUAAUGGCAUGAGUGGAUAAUUUAGAGACGGAUUUAGGGGUUACUUUAAGCUAUUUUCAUAAUGACAUAGGUGGGUGAUUUUUUAAAAACAUAAUUGAUCCAAUGGCUAUGAUGAUUUUGAGUCUAUCAAUUGAUGGCCAGAUGUUUUUGCUCUUUUUUGAAAAUUUCUAGGAUUUCUCUCGAGUGUCCACCUAGGAUCCUAUGUGGCUUCUAGAGACUUCAAAGGAAUCUCCUAUUAGUAAUAUUAAGAUUAUGCCCACGUAGCAUCAACGACGAAGGUUAACCUUUCAAAUCGGCAUGAACGGCCGUGAACGAACGUUAUAGUCCACACAUGCUACUGUACCGCAUUGUUGCACCGAGGGAACCAAAGAAAUAAAACGAGGUUAGUACGUACUUCCCGGUGACAUGAUGACCAAGUACCACCACACGCACCAUCAGUCACGUUACUGUGCAUACACGUACGCAUGAACACACCCAAAAAAAAUCAUAAUCAUGUGUGCGUUGCGUUGCAGGCACAUACAUAAAAGUGAGGCCACCGGCCGUGCGGCCCGGCUCGUUAUGGUCCCUGCCGGCCGGUGCCGGUGAUUGUUGUUGUGUCCGUCGCAUGCACAUGGUGACAAAACCAUGAUGUGAUUGCAACUGCGAGCAGCAUGCGAACGCAUAGCAGCAGAGGACCCUCCUGCUGCUGCAUUAUUGAAGCCAGGCCAGGCCCGGCUUGGGGCACGUCGAUCGAGUCCUCGACCGUGGGCGCGCUUGGUUUCGAGCCACGCCACGCCACUGUCCAUGUAGUCCUUUGUGGCGUGGCGCUAGAAAAGAGCGUCACACCCGCCAUACUACGGUGGCCUACAACCAAGCUGUCCAUGUAGUCCUCUCCGGCCGGUGAUCGAGCAAUCACGUAGCCGGUGAUCAUCGAUGCACAAAGUACGUCUUGAUUAGCUUAAGGACGUACUUGCACUGGCGAUUAACUUCGUUUAGGGGGACAAUGAGGAACCAAUGUCCAAUGACGAUGAACUCAUGUUUACAGGUGGUGCCGGACGACGCCGGAGGGGCCCCGGGGGCCGGGGUGUCUGUGGUCACCGGCCGACAGGGAGGUACGGUGGGGGCGCCGGCGCCCCCGGCCGCGUGCCCGUGCGUGUGCGUGAGUUGGCACGGCGGCGACUCGUGGUGCGGAGGCCGUUUUGUACGGUGCUGUCGAUCGACCCGCGACGUAGCAGGUAGCCAGGUAGCGUGGAGUACGUACGUGUGCCCCGAGAAUCGAGAGGGUCAACCGGCUUGUACGCUUCCUGCUCCUGCAGAGACCUGAAGGGCCAGGGCCAUGGCCAGCGAUCCGUCCAUGAACCAUCCAUCUCGGGUCCACCAAGGCUCUUGUAAGGUCUUGAACGAACGUGCAGUAAAAAGAAAAAAAAAAUUCACACCACCUGCCGCUCGUUACUUGUUACUGUAGGGGCGACCGCCCGGUGGAUUAUUGCUUGGCACAACGUCGCUUUUGGCCGAUGGAGCUACAAACCUCUUGCUUGUGGAUACCGACGGCCAUUUCCCACGAGGCCACGAAUAGGUUCUUGUGAUGUUAGCACAGAAAAGGCUAGUUGCGUGCAAAAUGGCACUAGGCCGGGUAUCCAGUAGGCAAGCCGUUUGCAUCAAAGCCAUCGAGCUACCUGGCCGCCCAGCAUUUGCUCCCGGGCAGGGCUACCUGCAGUCCGCAGAGGCUACUAUAUCUACGGCAGUGACCAUGAAGGCAACUCCGCGCCCCGGCUUUCCUCUCUGCCCGGCGCAGCAUCCACGCCGCCCCCGGCCCCGUCGAGGAAGAUCUCCGAUGUCCGAUCCACCCAGACGACGACGACGACGACCCCCACCCCCGCGCUGCCAUCUCGAUCAGACCUCCAACAAGCCACUGCCCUGCAUGGCAGCAUUUAGGGCCUGGGCGCAGGGCGCGGCCAGAGCCCCCAGCGGCGAGGGAGACCUGGGAACGGCAAAGGCCAGCGGCGCACGCAAAGCAAGCGCCCAUGCCCAGGGAACACACAGAGCUACUAGCGCCCCCCCCCCCCCCCCCCCCCCCCCCCCCCCCCCCGCCCACAGUGGCAGGCACUGGCACAGGUGGGAGCUAGCCGCCAGGAUCCCGUCUCCCGCCCGGCGGGCACCAGCCGGCCGGCUGCGGCUGGGGCGCGCGGCGCGCCGCUUGAGGUGGCCGCGAACCACGUAGGAUACUCUUGGUACGUGGUGGUGACCACUGUGCCGCAGCGACCCGGCUACAGUAGAUGGCGAGCGGCGCGCGUCGCGUGCCGGCGUACUCCUUCCGUCCUUUCUAUGUGUCGCUUGGGAAGCGUACGUCCGUGGGCUGUGGGCACGCCGGUGCACGCGCGAUCGAUGGAGGGGACGCUACGUCGUCUGGGCCGUACGGCAGUCACCCCCCGUCGUCGUCAGGUCAGGUGAUGCGACGUGAUAGCGCCUGCGUGUGCUUCCUCUGCUCUCUGUGCUCUCCUCUGAUCGUCGAUCAGUCGAUCACCGCUUUUUAUUUUUAUUUUUUUUGCUUUCUACUGUUGUGCGAAUUUAUGUACCUAAUGUUUUGGCUGCAGGUAGCUGACGGCUAGAUUUCUGCUGGCGAGUUUCUAGUUUAUUUGGAUUCAGAGCCGCCAUUUGUGCUAUCGGUUUCCUUGUUUGCUUUGCAGAUGCAAGGAAACGCGCCGGGUUACUACUCCGGGGCCGGCCGGCGGCCUCGCGGGUGUCCUUCCUGACGACGGCAGCAAGCAGAUUGCGCAGGUGCUGCGACGCUGCGGGCAGGGCAUCUGCCGGGCCGCGAGCUGAGGAGCAUGCAGCAGCGACCACCAGCGGCAACAGCGCACUGCCAAUGGCUGGCCCGGGCUGGUUCGAUCGGUCAGGCCGUCUCAGCUACAUGCGCCGGGCGAGAUGCCGUCAAGCUCUCAUCGCUCUGCGCGUGUUGGGUGUGUGUGCAUGCAAGGGGCCGAUGGAGGUGCAUUUGUACUGAUCAUGCAUAUGAUCGGAGCACCGUUUGGACUUUGGAUGUGCUGCCAACGUGGACACAGCAGUAGUAGUACAGUACCUUAGUACAUACAUCCCAUGGUCCAUGGACACGCGAGCAGGAGAAAUCUCAAGGCACGUGUACUAUCGUACGCUGAGGGGGAGAAGAGGCUGAGGGGCUGAGUGCUGAGCCUGGAGAGGUAGGUCUAGGUGCUCUAGCUAUUUAUGCUAGUGCUACCUACGAGCAGAGCAGAGAAGCUAGGCAUGGUUAGCUAGCUUCCCUCGGUCGGGUUGGCAGGCGCCGCCCCAUGAUGUACCACCAGCCAGGGCCCAGGCGCGCGGGAGAGGUAGUACUGUAGUGGAACCGUAGGACGGCCAUGCGGCCUCCCGGAGGGACGACGACGCUGCUGCUCCACGAACCGCGGCGUGCACGCCGACUCUCCGCGUUGGACGAGGGUUGUGAGGGCACGCACGCCGGGAUAGACAGGGGCUAGCGAUCGGAGGAGCAGGACCGGUGGCCGGUGGUAGCUGCGGCGGUGCGGGUGGGGCCCGCGCGGAUAGCGAUGGUGCGAGCAGGCGCACCGCGACGACGACGACCGGCCCUGCCCCGACUGCGGCUGCAUUGUCAGCCGAGUUUUCGUGCCACGUCCAGAUAUUUACAAGGAGAGAAGGAAGAGUUUUAUCCUAUGUUAGAAGAGUUUCGUUCCCAUGACAUACAGGGAUUGUUAUCUACUCUCUCCGUUCUAAAUUAUAGGUCAUUUCAACUUUCUUAGAGAACCAAACCAUAUUAUGUUUGACCAAAAUUAUGAGGAUUACAAAGUUUUACGGUACCGAAUAGAUGUAUUAUGAAGAUAUAUUUAAUAAAAAAUUUAAUAUUACUUAUUAAUAUUUUAUUGUAUAAAUUUAGUUAGAGAUGUUUCUCGAAAGUUGAAAUGACUUACGAUAUAAAGGAACUGUGCAAUGAAACCAGACUGGCCUAAGGCUGCACCUACGGGGCAGCACGGGGCGGAGGAGCGGACGGACGAUGGUGAGGGAGUAGUCGUCCGUGUUUCGCGGCACGAUGUGGCAGCCAUGCCCAUGCAUGGGGUGCUCUGGCCUGCCCAGUCGCGCCCCUGCUCCUCCUGCUGCCGCAUGCGACCGACGCCACGGGGACCCUUCCCUUCUUCAAUUCUUUCCUCCCUCACCUCACUGCUCACAGUCACUGAGCUCUCUCGCUCGUCGCUCCGCCCGCUAUUGCUACUAGCUGGCUACUAGUUCCUCUCUCCUCCCCGGCCACGCAAGGACGCAGCCGAUACGAACCUGACCCUGACCGGCUCCGUGCUUGCUGCGAGCAGUAGCGGGAGACGCGUAGGGCUAGCUCCUCAAAGCCUCUCUCACACAAUGCAUGCACCCUGGUGCUGCUGUCAGGACUCGAGACCUAGCCCAUCGGCAUGCAGCGGCAGGCCAGGCAGGGGAUCGGACGGACGGACGACAGGUAACGUCGCUGUCGGACAGUCCUGCCGCGCCCCCCGCCGCCCCGCGCGCCGGGCGCGGGUUGCGGUGGGGCCCCUCCUCCCCAGGCCGCGCAGGGGGCCGCACCGGCCGGCCGGCCGGCGUGCGUGCCGGAGCGCUUGUCUCCUUCCGGCUGCUAGUAGUACAGCACAGGCAGCUAGCGGCAGUCGUCGCACGUACGUAACGUACGCGCGCGCGCGUGCACCGCCGCUACGGCCCCCGCCCAUGUACGUACCACUCUCCAAUGUUUUGUGGGGUUAUCGACCCACUGUUCAACUUCAACACGCUCUGCGGAAAGAGAAAGAGAAAGCUUUACUGCCUGUACACGGGAACAGGUUCGCAGCCAAAAUUUUAGCGCGCCAAAAUAUUGGGAAGCUAAUAUUUUGCGUAUCAUUUGGUUUGAUACCAAAAUUUGACAACUUCUCUUUUUUAUCUUCCUAAAAUCUUGACAACUUUUUUCCUAAAUUUUGGCAAGCAAACCGAUCAGCUCUAAAUGCAGCAAAUGUUAAUUGGCAAAUCUGCAGCUCACGGUACUGGAUUAAGAUUGUGUUUGUCAGACUGUGCAAAUGGGUGGACAUGCCUUGCAUCCUAUCAAUGGUGGACUUACCAUUGCGUCGCCUGCCCCGCCGCUCCAUCUCCUCGAGCUUCAUGCGGGCCUCAAGGCGGAGCUGCGCGGUGGACGUCUCACCGGCCACGGCGGUCACGAGGCGCUCAAGGUCACGCACGGCGCAGCGCUGCAUGGGGGACGCGGUCGUCGUCCUCGUCCAUCGCCCCCACCCUCCGCGGCGCUGCCGCGUCCACCUCGCCCCCAUGCUUGCCUGCAGCCCUGUCCUGGAAAUCCUCUCACUCACUUUAAGCAGGUAUCCCAAAGGCUUCUGCCUCCAUGGCAAUAGCCUCUGGUGCUACUCUAAAGCAAUUUGAUUCGAUCUACGUGCGCGAGUGACUUGAGAAUUCAUGGUCAGCAUUCCAUUGCAGGCUUAGACAAAAGGCGAGCUCAAAUUCCAUUGUCCCAAGCAUCAAAAUGAAUUUCGGCAUCUUCACGGAUGUCAAUUUACUUUCUAGCUUCCACGGAUGCUUUUGAUAGUAGACAGGAGAGCCGCGGGUGCUAGCAAAGGAGGAGGGGGCCGCAGACGCUAGCCGCGGCGAUGGGGUCCUCCGCGGUCCGCCGCGGACCCUCACGCACCUCCACGCUCCGCCCUGGGCUGCCGCGCGCCUCCGAAGGCUGCCGCAGGCCUCCGCUCGUCCCGCGCCUCGAAGCUCCGGCGCUGCCGCAGUCCCCGCACGUCGGUUGCCGCUACGGCCUCCGCGCGUUGAAUGAGGUAAAAAAUAAGCGGCUGGUGGUCACCGCAACCAGCGAUUCGAGCCUGCACCGCGUGGAACCAUCAAUCCACGCGAUCGAUUUGUGCGUUCCAUCCGAUGGAAGAUGGCAAGCGGCCUGUUCGCUUCAGCUUAUUCAGUCGGCUUAUCAGCCACCAAACAGUAUUUUUCUCUCACAAUAAAUCAGUCGUUUCAGCUUUUCAGCCAGCUUAUAAGCUGAAGCGAACAUGCCACCUCUUUUGCACCUCAUCAGCCUGGCCUGUGACCUCGUUCACUCUACCAAUGAGGCCAACUUGCACCACUCCAGCCUGCCUGGCCAACCUCCAUGCACCCUACCAAUCGUGCAUAAAGGAAGCAGCUAAGAUAUAUUUUGUACAUAGCGGACGAUGUAGAUACGAUCUUAAUUACUCGCACAUCGAAAUAAAAUGGUUAUAUCUUGUCUGUUAAUUAAUACAAGUUCGGCAAUCUUAGCCGGCACCAAAGCAAUCAUGCACGGCAGGGCAUUGACCCCCGUGCAAUCAUUCGUGUCCAGAUGCUCAUGCGGCCAUGGGAUGGGGGAGGUUCGGAGCCCCUGCUCGAAUGUCCUCCUCGAUUGGACGGUCGACAGCGACGCAACCACGGACGGGCACGGGCGCGGCGACGUUACGAUAUGCAUUGCAUGCAUCCGAUCGGGCCAAGUUACACACACAUGCGCAUGGUUGCGUUGCGUCGUGGCGUUGCCGGAUGAGAGGAGGACCAGCGAGGGCUGCUGCAUGCAGUGUACUGCUCCUACCGUUCGCUCUCAACACGUACGUACGUACGUCGAGAAACCCCGGCCCCGGGCAUGCGAUUUCAAGUAGUAGUGGGGAGAGACGCAUGGUCCUGGUCGGUCCCCAUCCAUCGGUAGCCAUCGCUUUUCUGUCCUCGUCCGGGCCGCUCCGGGGCCACGGGCCUACAUGUACACGCGUGGAACAAACGAGUAUUGAACCGGCUCGGCUGGGGCGGGCCUACGUGUAUGUACGCGCGUGACGUCUACGUCGUCGCUACAUGUACGCGCGCGACGCCCGCAGCGUAUACGGUUGAUGAGGCCAAUCAUCGAGACAGUAACCCCCUUUCUAGUAGUACCUACUGCUUUUUUUCUCGCCGCACGGCUUCGGGCCAUCGUCAAUGUUUUUUUUUUUUGGAGAAAGGAUGCUGACAUGCUGUUAGCCUGUUUUAUGACCUGGAAUGAGGCUUUUAAUUCCUUUUCCUUUUUCUUUACCAAAGGGUUCAUUCCUUGGCCAUCUCCGGAAAAAGACGGUUGGUGGAGGAGUUUUUGUAGGAUUUUGUUUCCUACAUUAAUUUGCAUCAACGAAAUAACGGGAGUCGCGUAACCCACCUUAACCAUUUUUAUAAAAAAAGAAAACAUCUUGCGGUUGAGCUCAAGCUCACUGCAAAGAAGCGAACAAUGAUUUGUUUCUCUAUGCUCGUUUCACGGAGCUUGUCGUAUACAUUUGGUGACACAAAUUUAUUAUAAGGAGAGUGACGAGGCUUUGUGAGAUUUUCUGAAGCAUUUAGUUCGAAGAAGAAAAAAAAAAGAAUCUCAGCAGGAGAGCGAGAGCCUGAGGUGCCUACUGAUUUUGGAGGUGUUAGAAAGAAAAAAAAAAGAAAACCUAACCUUGUGGUAGAAACAUUUUCGAUAUAAAAUGCAAGCCAGGUUGGUUGACAAGCGGUCAUUUUCUUAUUGUUAGAAAAAGUUGAGCGAUGACCGAUGAAGCAGGAGCGAAGGACAGCAUGAGAUGGGAGUGAUGGACGGAACUACGGAAGGCAGUGUCCGGGCGGGCGGGGGUCCGGGCGGGCGCAGGGACCACCCAUGGGCGCAUGGGCAUGGGUGGGACUUUGGGCUUGGGAUUGGGAGCACGGAGCACCACUGGUCGGGUCAAUUACAAAGGCGAUCGAUGGAACGACCGAGCGAGCUCCCGAGAGGAAAAAGGAAGUGCUAGCUUGGUGGUGUGUUUUGUUGGUCCUGCUGGUCCCCCAGCAAGGCAGCGGUGGUGGGACUCGUUCGUGGCGGUGGCACGUACUGCCACCGGGCCCAAUCAUGCGGUGUGGCGCAGGCCGUGCCAUGCCAUGGCACACUCUCCCUGUACGUUGCCGCUGCGACGCAUAUGCCCCAGCUACCACCCCCUGGCCUGCAGCACUGCACACCCCUCUCUCCUCCUGUGCCGCUGUGCGUGUCCAUGCUCGUGUGCCCCAUGCGCGCGUGACGUACGUUGCGCGGGGCGGGGGCGGUGCACGGCACGAUCGCGGCCCACGGACGCUGACUCUUCUUUCCCUCCACUCUCGUCGCCCAUGCCUGUCGUCUCUCUGUCACGUAUCAUCAAAUCAGGUCAGAGGAGACGAGGAGUGCUCUGCUCUCACUGCUCUUGUGUGGCGUCGCAGGGGACGCUCUGCAGCUGCAGAGGUGGUCGCGGCCUGCAGGCCCAACUGGCUGGCUCGGCGCCUCGGCCCCCUCCUCCUCUCUGGGACGCGUCCCAUCCGGGGCAGGAAAACCGCCCUUCCGGCUUUCAAUGCUCCACGCGCCGGGCGCCGUCCUUGUUCCGGGCCUCCGCCACCACCUCCACGCUACCCGCAGCCGCGUGUGCUCUUGUUAGAGGGAGGCCCGGCAAAAGCCGUCGCCGCCCCCGCCGGCCGGGGCCCCAGGCCUUGCUUUGCUUUGAUACCCUCUGCCCUGCCCCGGAGAGGAUCAGGAUCCCUGUCUGUCCCACAGUGCAAGCUCGGCAUGUUUCAAGGAUUGCUAGGAUGUGAGGUGAAGGUAGCAUGGUCUGGUCUCUAUGCCUGCAUUUGAGCACAGGAGGUGAAGGGCCCGUUCCCUCUGGUCAUUUCACCCACUCGGUGUCUCGGUCACAGCCCAAAGAUGACAACAAAAGCCGGAUACGUCUGCCACCCGCGACCAAAUCAUCGCUUACGGGCAGUGAGUGCGAUACUGCAAAUCCUGUGCCACGGGUCGCUUUGCAACAGCACUUGUCACCGGGAUCAUUCAUUUCACGGCAGGCCAAGGCACGAAAUAGUGGAGGCAAAUCCAUCUGGUGUCAUGCGGGACGGGGCCGUAACUCAAGAGCAGCCCCAGCUACUGGGGAGGAGCCUCAUCCAAGCAUCACCGGGCAGCAACGGCACCGAAGGGCGAAAAGGGUGGCAACACUUUUGCAUUCACAAGUCCAAUCAAUUACCCAACCAAAACUCGGAACGCCACGCCUCGGUGCAGGCCUUCCUCUAUCACCUUGCCUCGAUGCAAGAUCCGAGUCCAAAUCACUCACACACAGACACAGGCUCCGCGCAUGGGUCGCCAGGACAAAACACAGCCGAAUGCAACGUAGAUGCUCAAGGUCUCUGGAAACGGGCCGUGGCCCAGCACGCAAGCGAAGCAUCAUGCUACAAGUUCAGGGUUUCAACAGACUGAAACAAGCUUCCAACACCGAGCGUACACGGGACAGGGGUUCUUCGCGUCAGAUGACACUAGCAGCACACACUAUCAGUAAGCUGGACACACACUUUCUAGCAAUACAACACUGCCCCGAAGGGCUAACUAAGUUCAAUAAGUUUGGUCCAGCAAACAGAGCCAGUACAAUGUAGGCACGGACUGACUGCAUCCAUCCAAUAGAUGCAAACCAGAUGAUGCGCAAUCAGUCACUGCGGGCAGGUGACUCGGCGGACCUGGAGCGGGAUCCAGGAGGUGAGCCUGAGUACUCCUUGGGAGACCUCCGAUGCGGAGGGGAUCCAUCGCUGUCAGGUGGGGGCGACCUCCUGUGAACACAGACGCUAUUGUUAGGGAUUUUUAAGAGCUUUCACUACAGGACUAGAGCAGGAUGGCUGGUAAUCUCGAUUUCUAUGGACAGACGAAGGCUGGUUUAUGCGGUAGUGAUGAAGAACUAACUUCUCAUAACCAUUUUCAGCAUCAUCUCUACUGGCAGGGGAAUAGGAUCUCCGCUUCUUAUCUUCAUCAAGCUCCUUUGGCGGGCGCCUGGGAGGAGACACGCGAUGUGCCUCCUUUCUCCUUGGAGAAGCAGAGUAGUCAUCUCGGCGUCUUGGAGCAGGGGAGUACGAUCUGAUUUUAAAAGAAAGAUAAGUAAACAAAAACAAGAAUGAUAAGUAAAAAGAAAGAAAGAUAAGUAAACACAAAAAUAAGGAGUUAAGGUUUCAUGGAUCAAAGUCGGGCUUUUAGAGAAGCCUUUAUGUCAGCUGAGCAUACCUUGACCGAGGGCGACCCCGGUAGCGAGGAGAGCGGGAACGGGAACGAGACCGCCCUAUAUGAAAGAUGAGAGACUAUCAGUAAUUUGGUACUUCAAAAGGAAUUUGCAGACUUGAAUUUUCACAAAAGUUCAUCGCAAACUGAAGACAAUCCUGAGAUGCUAUUCUCAGAUUUAAAAGGUAUUUAAGCUUAUGCAUGCAUGGUGGAAAAAAAAACUGAGCUCAUACAUCAUCAUAAGCAGCAAUGGAUCUAGAAAUUUAUGGGUAGGAUGCAAACAUAUUGGUCCUCUGGUUUACAGUGAUGUUUGAUAGGCACUUGGUAGUGGUCAUGAUUGUACCAGAAGAGUAACGAGCAAAAUAUAUAAACGAUAUGAUGCUAUAUUAAUGAGAUGCACAAAAAAAGGUGUAAGAUGGGUAAAUAAAACCAAUAUUGUCCCAACCAAUCAUGCCCCUCUUUUGAAAGAGAGUAAAUCCUUUUUUUUACGUAAAAGAGGGCUAAUCCUACCAGAAUAAAAAACUUAAAAGGCAUAAAGAGGCUUCACAGUAAGUCCUUAAAAUUCUACCUAAUUACAAAACUUCCAACUUGAGAUGAUAACCAAUGCCUCAAGAUACAAGGAAUAAAUUUUUAACUUUGGGGCAACACAACCCCCUUCUACAGCUGCCACUGAUCAAUGACACAACAGAUAUGGUGCAAUCUUCCUCACAUAAUUGAAUAGAAUGAGAGGAUCCAGGAUUAUGUACAGCUUGAAAGUCACAGGAUCAUGAAUGAUACAAAACUAGCACAGCAAUGCAAGAAAUUACCAUAAUAAGAAGAGCGGCGACCUUCAUGACCAGAGUAGCCCCUGACAGAAAUCAGUCAUUAAAAUGAGAACAUAAAUAGGAAAUGAGGAAGAAAAUUAACUGCAAUAAAAGAAAACCACACCUGACUCUAGCCCUGCUACGCAUUUCUUCUGGCCUUUUUCGUGACUCAGCAGCAAGAACAACAGUUAUCUCCCGACCGAAGAAAACCUGGCGAUUCAUGUGAUACUGGGCCUCAGAGGCAUCAUAAGGGUCAACAAACUCCACAAAUGCAAAUCCUCGAGGCUCCCUGCAUACAUUGAUUUUAUUAGACAGUAGGAUAAGGGAAAUUCAUGAAAAUGACAAACAAAUAUGAGGGGGUGCAAAGUGUUCACAAUGGUGUCUUCCGGCCGUGUUACCAUCAAAAAUUUAGUGUGCCCUCUAUGGUUUUCAGUGAAGCACGGUCAAUAACUUACUAACAAUUCCAUCAAAAGGGAAGCACGUGUUGCAAAAAGCAGUUAGACGUCCAGGCUCUAGUGUCCAAAAUUCUUGUAUACAACUACAUAUGGUGAUCCUCAUAAAGAGCAUCUUCAUAAAAUCAUUCUCUUCAAGUUCCCCAAUGUUUGAAAAGUCACAAAAGUACUUGAAAUCAACUUGACUUGCUUUUAUCUUCUCAUAUGUACCCAGCCAGUACAUAUCUCUUAUCUUCACUUCAGGAAAUUAAUUUUCUCAAUGUAUCAAAUCUUGUCUUCAUAGAAGAACUUCAUCGGACAAGACUCUAUCUUGCCAAGCAAAUCAAUUGUUAGUAAGGCUAAAAGGCAUUCUUUGAUAAAAGAGGAGCUUGUAUUUACUUCAAGGUUCAAACCAACACAACCCUGGGAAUCAUUUGGGGGAAAAAAGGUAAUUCACACAGGGCAAGGAUGAAUGGAUACACAGGAUAAAUUUAUGCAUUAUAUUUGAUAUAUAAUGACCGAUGGCAUACAUCAGCAGAAAAAAGAAAAAUAACAGGAGCAUUUCACAUCGCACCAAAAUAUUGGAAAGUUGACAAUGCACUGGGCCUUGAGGAUGCUCAAGUGUUCACUUUAUUAAAUAUAGGUUAUUUAUUGGUCUAAGUCAUGCCCCUAGAAAAUAGUUUCUAUGUUCAUGCAGCCCAAAAAGUAGGAAAGGCGUCCAGCUAUUUUCAGUUCCAAUCAUUGCAGAAACAAGACCACUUCAAGAUUAGAUAUUUAUAGCACUUACCCACUAUAAUAAUCCUUUGGAAUGUAGACAUCCCGGACAGGACCAAACCUUUCAAAAGGAACUCGAAGAUCCUCCGCUCUGUAAAAGUUUUAGAAACAAACUGAAAUCAACUACUCGUGAAAAGAAUUGUAUUGGUAUCUCCUUUUAUCUUGAAAUCAGUUAAACAAUGGAAAUCAGUUAUUAUUUUAAGGGGAAUAGGAAAUCAGUACAUGCUAAAUCACAUGCAAAGUUUCUGUACCUGACACUUAAUGGAAUAUUGCGGACCAAAAGACUCCCAGAACCCUCCUUCCGCCCUCCUCCAUAUCCCCUCCUAGGAGGGGGGCUUCUUCCUCUGCCACCAUAUCCCCUCCUAGGGGGACUGCGAUACGGGGGGCUGUACCUCCUCAUAGUUGUCUGCAGUUGAACAAAAGUAUAACGAAUUAUUAACAACUUGAUAAGUUGACAUGACGACCAAUUGAGGAGAAUCAUAGACUUAUCUACGUUUCAUUUAAAGUGUCGCGUGCUACAAAAGCAUGUGUGACCCUGCAGGGUUCACCAGUUAGUCGGUUUCUGACUCAGGUGCCAGGGUCGGAUUUGGCAAGUAUUUAGAACACGAGAAAAGUGGAAUCCAACACUGGUGAUGGGUGUCUACCUCAGCAAAAAACAUGUGUGUCCAGGUAACACUGGCAUUCAGACCACCAACAUAUAAACUGUUCACUACCACUCAACCUUUGAGCAAUAGCCACUCAAACAAGUUUGAUGCACAAUUCAUCAGAUGUGAAUAAUAGAUUCGUACAGCUCUGCUAAUUCAUAGGUGACGUGGAAUAGAAAAGAUCAGCCGAAUCCUAGGUCACAAAAUGAGCCAAGCAGCUGACCGUUAUUUCCGUAGAAAUUGACAUGCAUGCUUAUUGCUUCUUUCGGUGGAAACGGAACCAAAAUUAACUAAUGGAGGUGCGGUGUUUUCUUUUUACUUCUAUAAAAACCAAGGUUGUGGAUUAGGGCAUCUGUGCAAUGAUUUGUGUCUAACAUGCGUGUGGCUAACAACGCAUAGAUGCCUUUCCAUCUUGUACUGUGUAAAUCAACCAUUACAACCUAGAACUUGAUAUUUAUUGGAAGUCCGUUGCACCGCACAUGCAAACUACUAGCCAUUAUUAAGGUAUAUAGUUCCAGUUCAGAAUAAUUAAAAGAAUAGAGCCCUACAGAUACAAAACACAAUCCAACAAUCCUCACGCACUGCCCAAGACAACACAAGCGGCCACAGCCCGCACGCUCCUCAAGGCAUUAACGCAUCUACAAGGCUAAAGCUCCGCAGAGUAACCCGAGAACGUCGCCGCGCGGGCUCGACCCGUCCCGGCGGGAAUCGAGAUCUAAGUAAGACACCCAGCAGCGAACCAUCACGGUACGCCAUCGCGCACCUAGUAGACGGCUCCUCGCGGAGGAGCUGGUGGAAAAAACCGCUGAGCCCUGCGCGGAUCUAAGCUGAAAGAGCGAGCCUACCGCUGCGCGGCGCACCUAGGGUUCGCGGUGGAGAAACGCCGCACGAGCGCGCUCGGUUACGGACGACGGUAAGCGUGCGGAGAGAGGAGAGGGACGGCGAAGGGGGUUGAGCGGUUACCAGGUGCGUCCGGUGAGAGCCGGGGAGCCGCCGCCGCGGCGGCGGAGAACGAGAGCGAGAGCCGAGAGGUGGUGGGCGCAAGCGAUGUCGCGCGAUGCGAGUGGAGGAAGAGGAAAGCUCGGAGCGCGACGUGGAGGGAGAGGAGAAAGAGAGGGGGUAGGCUAUGGGCCGGGCCUUUUUGACGAGAGAGCGCUAUACUUGAAGCUUGGCUAUGGGCUAGGCCUCUUUGACGGCAGGCUAUGGGCCGGAGCCCACUCCAAGCUAAAAAUGGGCUUCGAAUUUUUUUUUAAAAAAAAUGCGCGCGCGCACAAAAAAGAUCCUAGUCGCAGAAAAAAAAGACGCUAUGACGCUUAAUUUGAACCAUGUUUUCUGUAAAAAAACUAAACAAACGCGAAAUUAUGUUAUGGAAUUGUGUUCUUAUUUUCAAAAAUUAGGUACUUAUAGAUAUGUAUGCAUACUCUGCAACUGUACCCUACCCUAUGAGUGUAUACGAGAUUUUUUUUAAUCACACGGUACAAACGCAGACACUCACAUACACGCACGCACACUCGCGCCUACAAACACAUGCACGCAACCCUACCCUAUGAGCACCUCCGAAAGACUGACCCUGCAAAGUCUCGAGAUUGACGAAGUCGCCACUGGCGCUUUGCUGUCGACGGACACGUCACCUACCAUUGAAAGAAUAGCGCCGGUUAAAUCCUAAAAUAAAUCUAGAAAAAUCCGAAUACAAGUGCCGAGUCGAUGACUUGAACAUUAGUGUGCAGAUUGCACCACAAGCAACCUUAUUACCAGUUGAGCUACACUCAAUUUAUUACAGCAUAUACGAGAAAUUGAACACGCAAAUCUUGAACUUAAUAAAAUCACCUCAGGUAAAUCUAUUAUGUCAUAAAUGAGAGCCGCCGUGUUGAGUUGUGGACUGUUUGACUUGGGCAUGCCGUGGUCAGUGACACAAAAAAAAUAUCAGUUCUCCGGCCAAAAUUAAGCCUCAAAAAAUCUCUUUUCUUAACUUGCCACGUAAGGGCAUCAAGCUGACUAGCUGAGCAACGUCUAAAUUAACACCCUCGAACGUCGCCUUGAUCUUCAUCCAAACAGGCAUACAGCGUAUACACGUUGCUCCCAACUCACCGCAGUGUGCUCCGAUAGAGUAGCUAUUAGCUGAAGUGUGUGUUUGGUUGGUGGUUACAUAAAUGACACGGUGGGUUUAUCCUUCUUAGUAAAAAAAUAAUGUUAAGCGGGAUGGCUUCAUUCUAGAUGACGGUAUAAUUCAUCCAAUCAAAUAAAGAGAGUCAUUAUCUACUUGAAGCAUUUCAUACAAAAAUUAAAUAAUACAUAUUCCAUCCAUUUCAAAUUGUAGGUUAUUUUGACUUUUCUAGAUUCAUAAAUAUUAUUAUGCACUUAGACAUACGCUAUAUCUAAAUGCACCUAAAAGCUAAAACGAUAUGUAAUUAUAUCUAAAUGCACCUAAAAGCUAAAACGAUAUGUAAUUUGGAACGGAGAGACUGUAAUUUGGAACGGAGAGAGUACAACCAAACGCAUAACACACCGGAUCGCCGAGGGUACGAUGGAGGCCCCAUCCAUGUACGUGCAGGAGACUGAACACUUCGUUUAUUCGUAACACAUCACCUCCAGGCCGGAUGGGCCGACGGCGGCGACGCCGGCCGGGCGGUCGUCAGUGGGGGCAGUGGUCCUUGUACGUGCAACCCCGGGUGUAGGACCCUCCUCCCUGGGCGGCGCACUGGUUGCCGCUCUGGCAUCCCGGCCUGUCCUUCUCGAGGGCACCGUAACCGAUGCUGCCGCCGCCGUCGCCCGCCCCCAGCCUCAUCAGGCCGCGCAACUCCGGCUCCGGUGCCACCUCGUCCUCCAGGAGCUGGUCGUAGCGCCGCUUGUCGUUAGCACGAGCACCGGCCGCGACGCUGCCGCCGCCGGCCCUUAGCCCGGCGCCGCGGCGGAUGAUGACCAUCCUGGCACCGCUGUGCUGGCCGCUGGCAGUGGCCGGCCCGGCGGAUGCGGCGAGGAGGAGGAAGAGGACGGCGGCCAGGGGUAAGCUGGUAGCUGCCAUCGCGCAACUACCGAAUCGGUUUCUCUCUGGUCAGGAUGGUCAGUCACCUAUCGGCUUCCUGGCUACUAGCUUAGGUAUUUUGUAGCUGGGCAAAGCUGAAGAAGUAUGCAGUGCGCAAUCAUCUGGGGACAAAAUUCCUUAAAGUUAACGGGAAUGUGUAGGCACGCACUUCGUACAGAGUACAAAUCAUAAAGGAUUAAAAUGGGUUGAAAGUUGAAACAUGGUGGGCGUCCCAAUUUAGGUGCACGCCUGAACUCCAUCUCGAACGUCCUAUUCCAAAAAGAAAAAUUGAAGAAUAGAAGGGAGAUAACAGUAUCUGACGGAUCUAAAGAGUUAAAGACCACCCCAAUCUGCUUGUCCCUCCGCAACUCACGGGACGCGUGGCGGCACGGGAGGACGCGAGAGAAGCCUUGCCGCUGCGGGAGGAGAUGGGGUGCUGGUAGGUGAGCCGUGUGUCGUCCGUGGAUGGAGUGCCCUGCUGUCGAUUGAUCCGAGCCGGACCCUCCUCCCGCCGUCGGAAUAGCGCGCGUGGCGCCUGGUAUUUUUCGCAAAUAUGUCACUAUGCUCGAGUUUGAUAGAUUUCACAUGGACUACAGAUUGAAUGAAGUGAAUCCAUUCACUUGCUAUGGCAGGCUAAGCGAUCAGAUAGAUGUUGAUUUUUACUCGACAGUUGAAGGAUCUAGGCUAAAGUUCAUAGCUGACCACCAAAAAGAGCUGAGAUACGAGUCUGUUCAGGGAAUAGCCGAUGCGAUUGAUAAGGGUUUUACCGAUGCGGAUUCUGUUGGCGGUAGAGUUGUUGUGCCUGCCAGUUUUACUGGCGGGAGAAGGUAUCAUGUGAUGAACUACCAGGAUGCAAUGGCCAUAUGCGGAGUCUUUGGCGCUCCUGAUCUUUUUGUAACCUUUACAUGCAACACUAAGUGGAAAGAAAUUGCGGAUGCUCUGCGAUAUGAGCCAGGCCAACAGCCUUCUGAUCGAUCUGAUUUGAUUGUAUGAUUUUUCCAUAUGAAGGUCGACGAAUUCAUGGAUGAUAUCAGGGAGGGUAAGCUGUUUGGUGAGACAUAGUAUAGGAUAACAGUGCAUGUUGCUGUUCUUUCUUUGUUGUUAGUAUGUCUCAUCUGUGCUAUUGCUUGUGCAGUUUUGUACACUGUAGAGUUCCAAAAACGUGGCUUGCCCCAUAUACACUGCCUUGUGUGGUUGGCCGAUGCACGUUCAGAGUUUAGUGCGUCCACUAUUGAUGGUUUUAUCUGUGCUGAAAUCCCAGACAUAAACGUUGACCCGCUAGGUUAUGCUUUGGUCGAUGAGUUUAUGAUGCACGGCCCAUGUGGUGAUGCCAACAAAAAAUGCCCGUGCAUGAAAGAAAACAAGUGUUCCAAGAAUUUUCCUAAAUCAUUCCAGGAUGAAACAAUCGUAGACGACUUCGGUUUUACUAUCUACAGACGUAGGAACGAUGGUAGGCAUUUUGUCAAGAAUGUCAGGCUAGAUAACAGAAACGUUGUUCCAUAUAACAUGAAGAUUCUUAAAAAAGUACAUCAAUGUUGACUGGUGUAAUAAAUCCAACAUGAUCAAACACCUGUUUAAAUACGUUACAAAGGGAAGGGAUAGAGCAAAGAUUUACUUUGAGGUUACUGCAAAGACAUCUAAUGCAUCUGCUGGACCUCAGAUGGCUCCACGGAAUGAAAUCCAAGAAUACAUUGAUGCUAGGUUUCUAUCUUCCUGCGAGGCUCUAUGGCGUGCAUUUGAAUUUGAUAUUCACUAUAGAAUGCCUCCAGUAGAGCGAUUGUGUGCUCAUCUUCCAGGGAUGAAUCAUGUGCGAUAUGAGCCGUAGAGGCGUUGCUUGCUAGCCCAGCAGCAAAAAGCACUAUGCUGACUGCAUGGUUCCAUGCGAAUGCGAAACACGAGGAUGCUAGGCACUUGACAUACUGCCAUUUUCCAAAAAAAUGGACUUGGGCCGCUUCUGACCGCUGCUGGCAGAAAAGGGUGCCUUGCGCUAAGAUUGGACGGAUGUACUAUGUGCAUCCAAUUGCUGGCGAGCUUUAUUACCUGCGCAUGCUAUUGAUGAUCGUUAAAGGUGCAACGAACUAUGCUGAUGUGAGAACUUUCAACAAUAGGGUGUACAAAACGUUUCGAGAUGCAUGUGAGGCAAGAGGUUUGCUUGAGAGUGAUGAUGAAUGGAACCUUCUGUUUGAUGAGGCCAUAGUGUCUGCAUCAUCACAUCAGCUUAGACAUCUAUUUGUCACCGUCGUGCUUUUCUGUUCUGUAAGUGAUGUCCGUGCUUUGUUUGAUAAGUACUGGCUUUACUUUACAGAUGACAUACACAAAGGGCUAAGAAAUGCACUUGGGAACCCACACUACAUUGACCGGUUCAGGCAGUGCAUAAAGGAAGGAAAUGUCUACAACUUCUUCUAUUUCCGAGUCAAGAACUCCAGUGACAACUACAAACCAGUUGAAAAUGAUAACAUGCUUAUAUUUUCACAAUGGACAAAGAUAGAGGAGGGUUGUUAACGUGCCCCCUGCUUUCCCGGUCUAUGCCUAUUCCAUUGCUACCAUGGAGCAGUUACAAGCACGUCUGGACAGUAAGGUUCUCUUCACAGGUCAUAAACAUUCUUACUACCUUACAAGUGUGCUUAGAACUGUCAGACAAUAGCUUAUGCGCUGUUAUUCCUUAAAAUAGAUGUGAUUGGGGUGAUCACUUCUGUUUCAAAUGCUGGGACAAUGCGAGCAAAAGUAAGGCCGGGUGAGAGCUUGAAGAGGGCCAUAACUAUACGCCUCCCAAGGUUAGCUGUGUAUAGUUGCCAUCCAUAAUGUUCUUUAUGCCUAUAACUGUUUGCUAGACUGCACACUAAAAUUUGCUUUCACUUGUGUUACAGUGGUACUCUGUUGGAUGUUAUGCUCUGGUCAGAGCGGGCCACUUCGUUCCCAGCCGAGGACGUACACAGGGAUGGGCAGACUUCUCCACAGGUGGUGAUCUUUGUUGGUACUCUUGUCAAAAGCUUCGGAUGUAUGUCGCUAUCUGGUGGUUCAUCAUGCAAGUGGUACAUGAACCCUGACGUCCCUGAGGCAAAGAAACUUAUGGCCAGGUAACAGGUCCAUCUAAGAAUUAGCUGACUGCAUGCGCUGUACCUUUCUGAUCUUUGUACUCUUUCUAAGAAAAAUGACCUCUUCUCCCUUUCCUGGACAGUGCAAAGACUAUGCAAGGUACUGUUCUUAUUGCAGCAUAUCAUGCAUGUGAUGCACCACUGAUAGGCUGAUCCUUACCUAUGUUUGCUUCUCUGCAGAAAAAUGAGUUUUUGGUUACAGUGACAGUAAAAAAGAUUGACAAUUUAUGGUGGUACAAUGCAUGAAAAAAAUGUAUGAAGACAGCUAAGCGUCAUGGUGAUUCAUACAAGUGCACUAAUCCUAGCUGUGGCACCAUUGGAAUGCCCGCUCAGAGGUCACUCGCUAACUGUUGCUGUUGAUUUCUUCCUCAGCAUAUGGUUUUUGUUGUAUUUUCUAAACCAUAAAUUCAUGUAGGUUCAAGUUAUCCAUACUUGCCGGAGAUGAGACGGGUGACACGGAUUUCAUUCUGUUUGGACGGCAAGCUCAGCGACUCACAAAAAAGGCAGCUGAUACCCUUGUUGCUGAUAACCCAAGUAAUUUUAUCCCGGAUGAGAUUACCAGGCUUCUUGAGAAGACUUUCAUAUGGAGUGUCAGCUUUACAGAUAAGAUAGCACAACAGACUCAGGCAAUAUUACCUUUCAAGUUAAUGCAGUGGUGGGAGAAAUCAAUGAUGGAGUGCUGUUAUUCCAGCAACACCAGAGGGAUCACAGACAUCAUCUCUCAUGCUCUCAAGAGGUGCAGGCACCAGCAUGCAGAACACUCCUCAAGGAAGUCAUGUACUGCCUCUAUCCUCCAUGCCUGCUACUUCGGAAGCAAGCCUCGCCUCAAGCACCACACCAACAAAAACAGCUUGGCCUGUUUUGGAGCCACCAGAGACCCCACAGAGUGUAAGGGCCAGUGCUCAUGAUCAGGUAUUACUCCUUGUUGUUCCAGUUAUACCUAGGCAUUGCAUGUUAGGUGCAGCUAUGGUGUGUGGAUAGAUUCCAAUCUGUAGUGUCGCAUUUAUGUUCGCAUCAUUAUUGAACUAGGUACUCAAGACAUCACUGAGUUACACGUCAGAGUAUGUAGGAACUAAUUAUUCCUGCUAAAGAGUUGGCUUCUGUACAAUUAAUUCCUGCUUGUGGUGUUUCUUUCCGCAGGACAAAACUUUAGCUUCACCUGCAGAUCCACCUGUUGGUUCUUCUACAAAGACACAGAAAGCACCACAAAGGAUCGGAAAGGUUACUCCCGCCGGCAACCUAUUUUACUGUUUCUUUAACUUGGUUACUAAGCACGGGACUUAUGUCUGAAAUUACAGGCCUCGCCCAUCCCCUAACAAAAAAAUUGCUAAGAAGCUAUUCACUGGUGGAGAGCCUGCAGAUGACAGUGCUGAAAGUGACAGCGGCGCAGCCACCGCUGAUCAGGAGAGGUAACUCCAUGCGGCAUUUUACCUUCCUUGCACAGCAUCCAGUUGUAGCUCAUGUUCAGGAUAGCACAUCAUUUGAUUAUUACUGUUACAUCUUCAAGUGACAUGCUACAAAAAAAUUAUUAUCCUUUUGCAGCCCGAGCAAGGAUGCAUGAGCAGUGGAGCUCAUGCCCAUUUUGCGUCUACCAGUUGCAGCCAUCUUUUGUUUGUGCUUCGUCAGCCAGCUUUUGUUUGUGUUUCGUGUCCAGUAAAAAGUCUGAUGCAUGAGUUUCAGCAUCUGCAUAGACUUGUGGCUGCAAACUGUGUAGCAUAGCCAUUAGAUGUUGUUUCCAGUGCCGAUCUCGAUUAGUAUUCGAAGCUACCAACUAAGCUGUUUGGUAGCUGUGGAUACUGAUUGUGGCAUGUCGAUCUUGCUGCUUGGAUGUGCUGUGUUAUCGCUGUUCAUAAUAUCGGACAGACACCUUGAUGCGUUGGGUAGGACAGACUGGUGCUCAGAUGUGUUGUAAUAUUAAUCUUCCAGAUGUCGAACAGACACCUUUGGUGUUUGGAUGUGCUGUAAUGUUUAUGUUCCAUAUGCCGGACAGACAUCUCAUUCAUAGGGUAGAUUGGUGCCCUGGUGUUUGGAUGUGCUGUAAUGUUCAUGUUCCAUAUGCCGGACAGAUAUCUCAUUCAUAGGGUAGAUUGGUGCCCGGAUGUGCUGUAAUAUUCAUGUUCCAAAUGCCGGAUGUACACCUCAGAUUGAUAGGAUAUGUUGAUCCUGGAACUAUCGAUGAUGUGUGCUCGGAUGUGCUGUAUUAUUUAUGAUCCAAAUGCCAGACAGACAUCUUUAAUGAAUUUGUUAGCACAUGCUGUGAUUUCGUUCUCAGUUUCAUGUAUCGGUUGUUUGUUAGUUUUCAUUGUCUUAUAAUAACUUGUAUUUGAUUGAUUACCCGAUAGGGCGCGUAACGCGGGCCGAAUGUUCUAGUCCCAAUCGGCAGCGAGUCGCUGACGCUAGACUUGGAGGCUGGAGACCGGACCAGGGGCGGCGCCUGGAUCAUGUCCUGGCCGCGCAGCCGUUCGCCGGGCAGCCGGGGCGCGGGUGCCUAGCGAGGUUGCGAGCGGGCGGGCGCCAGGUAUCUGGCGGUGCACGCCCGAGUCUCGAGACAUGCAGCUAGUAGCUUACUUCAUCAGCCACGCCUACCUGACGACAAAGGCCAUCUUCGGUGGUCAUCAGUGGCGGUGGCGCAGGCCGAGUGGAGUGGAUGGUGCUCAUUGCACCACAGUACCGUUGAAGAAUCUGCGGGCUGCACUUGAACUACCAAGGCCACUCGUGCGACCAAAAGGGGGAAAACGUUGGUAUGCUGCCUAGCACUAGCAGCAUAGCUUCACUACAGUGCGGAUGCUUUAUUCUUAACAAAAAAGAAACUAAGUUAACUAAACUUUAAUUACGCAGUCGUUCAGUGAUAAGUUGAUAAUUAAGCUGACAGGCCAGUGGCCAGUAGCUGGGCACUCAGACAAUCAUCAGAGUUUGAGUUUCACACCCGUUUUAUUCAUGCAACUGCAGCACACACUCUUACACGAACGCACUCUCAGCUCGACGCCAUCGGUCGUCAUCUCCCCGGCCGGCCGCCGCUCGUGGGUCGUGGCAUACACGCGCGCCGGCCGGUCACCCGCGGCAUUGCUCCCUGUACGUGCACGGCCGGGUGUAGGGCGCUCCCUUGCCGGCGCAUCGGUCGCCGCACGCCGCCCUGUCCUUUUCCAGCGCCUCGUAGGAGAUCUGGCCCUGGCCCGCCCCCAGCGCCGCCAGCAGGCCGCCGCCGCCGAACUCCGGCGCCACCUCGUCCUCCAGUCGCCGGCCGUGCCACUUGCUGCUACGAUCAAGGGAGCCCGCGGCGGCGACCCUUGUCCCGGGGGCGCGGAUGACGAUGGCCAUCCUGCCGCCGCCGUGCUUGUCAGCGGCGGCCGGACCGGCCGACGCGGCGAGCAGGAGGGCGGUGGCAAGGAGGAGGAGGACCGCGAGGGGCGGGCUCGCCGGCAUUGUGCACAGGUUUAAUGGUCCGUUUCGCUGAGGCCGGGCGCAUCUUAUAGACACAAGCCGAAGGGAAGCACGGCAGCAUCAUCUGGCCCCUUAAUUAAGUGUUUGACGUUUAGUCGACCUAAAAUUCAUGGCACGUCGAAUAUUCGGGAACCGAUUAGAAUAACUAAACAUUAGCUAGUUAUAAAACUAAUUACACAUAUGGAGAGAUGGAGGUUAAUUUACGAGACGAAUCUAUUAAGUCUAAUUAAUUCAUCAUUUGUACAUAUUUACUGUAGCAUCACAUUGUCAAAUCAUGGACUAAUUAGACUUAAUAGAUUCGUAUCGCAAAUUAGUCUCCAUCUAUGCAAUUGGUUUUAUAAUUAAUCUAUAUUUAAUACUCCUAGUAUUUAAACAUUCGACGACAUGAAUUUUAAGAAGGAUAUAAGAAAGACCUUAGUUUGUGCGUUAAUGGGGCCAACCCAAAAGCUAAUGACAGUGGAUUAAACUUUAAAAUAAGUUCAUUGCAUUGAGCAGCACGAGCGCACACCAAAGCACGCCUUAAGUGCCUAGUGCCUGCAGUUGCACUAGUGAUGUCCUAGGAUUACGCACGUAGUUAGUGAUCCUAAUUAUGCUGUCAUCAGUAGUAAGCCUGGCAGGGCAGUGAGUGACAAGGAUUGCAAGUGCGUCACCGCCUUUUUUAGGGGUGUUUGGGAGACAGGGGCUAAACUUUAGUCAUGUCACGUCACACAUUCGGAUGCUAAUUAGGAGGACUAAAUAUGAGCUAAUUAUAAAACUAAUAGCAGAACCCCUAGGCUAAAUCGCGAGACGAAUCUAUUAAGCCUAAUUAAUCCAUCAUUAGUGAAUGGUUACUGUAGCACCACAUUGUCAAAUCAUGAACUAAUUAGGCUUAAUAGAUUCGUCUCGCGAUUUAGCCUAGGGGUUGUGCAAUUAGUUUGUAAUUAGACUAUAUUUAAUAUCCCUAAUUAGUAUCCGAACAUCCGAUGUGACAGAGGUUAAACUUUAGCCCCUCCUUCCCAAACACCACCUAAGACACUACCGCUCAUCCAAGAUGUACGUGGCCGAUACUCUAGGUGCUAUUGCUAGUGCUUGGCUUUUCAUUCUAUUUCGCAGAGGCAAAUAGAGAUGGGGCUAUAAAUUUAAUUCCGUAUCAUGUUAUUAUAGUAUAAGACUUGGGAUUGGUCUUGGUUCAAUGUGCACUUUAACAGAAACUUAACCAUCACUGUUAGGUUUAGUCCCACAUCAGAAAUUGAUGAUAGGGAGCACAAUAUAUAUAGGUGGAGACAACCCUUACUCAUCAGGUUAGUCUUUUGUGUUGAGUUAGACCCGAGAUCUUGUUGUUGUGAGCUUUGGUGGACUUGGGUCUGGUGGGGUGCCGGCUUGGGUAUAGCGGGCCGGGCUAGAAUUCGCUGCGCACUCUAACAAGUGGUAUCAGAGCUAAAGGACAGGAAACUUGGAACAUCUCUGAGUCACAUGGUAAUGGGGAGCCCGUGAACAUCUCCGAAGGAUCACACGGGUUGUGUGUGACUGGAGAGUUGGACUCGAAGUCUGGGGAUAACUUCUUCGGGAGAUCACAUGGGGUUGUAUGUGAUGGAAGAGUUGGACCCAAUGUUCAUCAGGCUAGUCUUUAGGAUUGAGUUAGGUCUGAGGUCUUGUUUGCUGUGGGCUCUGGUGGAGUUGGGUCUAGUAGAUACCGGCUCGUGGGUAUAGCGAGCCGGGUCGAAAUCCGCUGCACACUCUAACAAUCACCAAUUUACUUUUAGACUCUUCAAAAUAGCUAAUUUAUAUUGGAACAUGUGUACAAUAAUGUCAGGCUUGUUUUCCACGUUGGUCGUUUUUUAUUUUAAACUAGUCAGUAACCAUCAGUGCCAGUCGAUAGAAAUCAGAAUCCAGUGAAUUAAUUCGAGCGGGCUUUCGUCCAGUGGGACUGUAAACAGAUGCUAUAUGGGCUCGAAGCAAGGGCAGGGCUGCAAAGAAGCUUCUUGGAUCAGCGGGCCUGUAAAGUAAAUAAUAGUUAGGAAUUCCUAACAGUUAUGGACUCAUCACGCUACACUGCCGCUGGGCCCCCAAAGCUGAGGGAGAGACCAAUCGCUCUCUGGUCGUCAGCCUGCUUAAAGAAGAGCCUGCAGAGCAUUUCCAUCGAAUUGCCAAACCCAUCUCUAACAGAAACAAUAUCAUUUUAGAGAAUUUAUUAUGUUCUCCGACAGACUAUCAAUUCUAUCUUAAAUAAAAAAAACUUUUGGUAACUACCAAAAACUUAUCCCCUCUCCCCUUAAUGCAUGUAUAUGAGGAUAUAUCCCCUCCCGUAUCCAUUUUGUUUUUCUGUUUGACGUGUAGACAUUUCACGAGGAGGCCGCGGCCCGUCGAUGUCCCCAUGACGCUGAUUCACAUGAAUGUAGCCAAGUGCUACACUUGAUGAACCACCAAGGCCACUUCUCUGCAAAGGUGUUCAGUGUUCACACAUUUUAAUCUUGAUGCUAGAACAACUUUUCUUACACAGCAGAAUAGUUUGACCCUAUCGCCUGAAUAAAUGUAAAAUUUCAGUCACCCAAGACGUAGCAUCUCUCUUAUUCCAAACAAUUACGAUACCAACUCUAUUCCAAAGGAAAAAAAGAGAAAAAAAAUGAAAGAUAACAACUUAUAUAGAGAAUGCACAACAGAAGCAGCUUUGAUCAGCGUGUGAUGGAUGGAGAACUAUGCACGCGUAGUUCGCCGUUCGCCACGGAAACAACACGCACUCCUCUGUUCCUGCAACUGCAACACGCACAGUCACAUACACGCACUCACUGUGACACCAGCCGUCGUCCCCUCACCAAUGGCAACGGCGGAGCUCGUGGCACGCACACGCGGGUCACCCGCGGCACUUAUCGUAGUAAAAGCACGGCCGGGUGUAGGACGCGCCCUGGGCAGCGCAGCCGCCGCCGCACGCCUGCCUGUUCUUGUUUAGCGUGUCGUAGUUGAUGUAGCGUUGGUCCGCCGCCAGCAGGCUGCCGAACUCCGGCGCCACCGCCUCCUCCAGGCGGCGCCGCUGCCACUUGCUGAUAGGAGCAGCACCAGUAGCGGCGGUGGCCACCCUUGUCCCACGGCCGUGGAUGGUGACCACCCUGACGCCGCCGCCGUAGUCGUCGCUCAUGGCGGCGGCCGCCGGGCAGGAGAAGGGGGAGAGGAGAAGGGCGAUGGCCGCGAGGAGGAGGACGGCGAGGGGCAGCUUGCUGCCCGGCAUUGUGAACCACCGGCUUGGUUUGCUUG